ACCACGGCACCUGAGCUUGCCAUCUUUUCCUGCUCUAUCUCACUCAUUUGUCCCGUAGCUACUAGCUAAGCCACCAUAUCAUCCAUGGCUUCUGGUGCCUCCACCACGCUGAAGAUGGCCUCUAUCGCCGCUUGCAUCCUGCUGGUCCUGCUGUCCAAUGGCCACCCUACCGCGGCGGCCGUUGAUUGUAUUGCGGCUUGCAAAGAACCGUGCCAGGGUUUUUCUAACGGGCUCUGCGCGGGUGGAGCCACCAGCGGUUGUACGACUACGGCAGCAGCUACAGCAUGCCGCAAUUUGGCGUUCUCGCAGUGUGCGAACACCUGCUUCACAGUUUGCACUGCUGUGAGCAUCGCGCCUUGCACUUGAAGAUGCAUUCGUGUUCCUACUUCCACAUUAUUGUUACUGCAGAAUAAUAUGGGUCAGUGCACACAAGCAUACAUGAUGAGCCACUGUCGUUUUUCCAUUUUGUCAUUUAUUUAUUGAAGGCAAUGUACGUUUUUCCAUUUGAUCAUUUACUUAUUGAAGGCAAUGUACGUGUCUAUCUCCUGUGUGGUUGAGCAUGUCAUCUUGGAAUUCUGUCCAAAGUUUUACAUACCACCUUGUAUUGUUGUGUGUGGGUAUCAAUAUAAUUUAUGAACUAUCUUCCUUUACCAUAGACAUAUCUAUGUUUAUUUGCAAGCGUUAGCUAAAUUUUUCCUUGAUUGUGUAUUAACCCAUACUGAACAGAUCAACUUUCCACUGCAAGAAACUAUUUAAUCUGUGACGAAACAAAAUUGUCACGUAUCACUAAAAAAUCGUCAUAAAGCAAUGCCUGUGAUGAUUUCAGAUAACGUCAUGUAUUGAGCAUCACAGAUUAAAUCGAUGACAUGGAGAGGCUUCACCAUAGUAUUUUGUAUCGACGUUAGACCUAUCGUUUAUUUCCGCUGCUUUUGAACUCUGAACACUACUUUUAUGCAUGUGAACUAUCGGCUUGUAAUAACUUAAUGUGGGACCUGUAAUAAUUUAUCUGGAUUGUUGUAAUCUUUGGACUCGUCUUCGUGCGAGUAUACUUUGUUUCGAUCCGAAACACGUGGUUGCAUCGGGUGAAACCCGACAGACUACCAGUUUAAUUCGAUUAAAGUGUCUAUUCACAUUUAAGGCAAUGUUGAAUAUACUUUAGCCGGGUUAACUUGGAUGGUUCUACCACACUGGCGCAUCCCUGAGGAUUCCUAUCUGCUUGCUCGAUGUCAUCUGUAUCUGGCCCUGUGAUAAGGGUGAAGAGUUCAUUGUCUAGAGACAGGCUUCCAGAACUUUGGGUGAUGACUUAUGUAGAGUCAUGAAGCGUGAUUCGUUGUCCUGGGCGAGGGCAGGUAGCCUCAUGCCAGGCCAGUAGAUGAAUCUGCCUUGAGGGGUUGAGGUGAUCACCAGGCCCUGCUGCGAACCUGUUAGUGGAGUCUCCUCGUCGGAAUCCAAGUAGUGAUCGUAGUUGUGGUCCUUAAUCGGACAUGAGUUAGAUUGCAACCCGGAUAAGGCUGCUUGAUAGGUGGAAGCUGCGUUACGGAGUCCGAAUGGGAGUUUGCUCGGAAUUUGACUUGAUUCGGACGAUGCAGAACCCGAUGGGAUAACCUACUGGGGUAUUACGUCAAUAGAUCAACCAAAAGAAUGCGCAAUAAUAUCUACCACCAAAGGCAACCCAAAAGCAUUAUCUACCUUCAGUGCCAGAUCAGUCAUCAACAAAGAUCUAUGGAGACCUUGUUUUCUCUUGCUUUGGAUUUGGAGAUAGCAUAGAACAAAAGCCUUGAACCUAAAUAAACAAAGAAAAAAAGUACUGCAGUGCUAAAAAUAAGAAAUACCUCGUAGAAAAAUACCAGUAAUGGGUUUAUGGGUUCCCACUCAUCCUUGGGUAGCCACUUCUCUAGAGAGAUUCUUGUGUGUUCCGGUGUUGUAGUUUUCUGCGCAUGAUACAUAGCAACAUAAGGGCUAUUCCCCAACCUCAUAAUCGAUAGUAAUGUACAUCUUCUGGAAAGGACCUCUUUCUGUUGCAAGUGUGACUGCCACGCUCAUGCCAUUAAAGAAGUUAGCAGUUCGGUUAGGCAAUUAGUUGCCCACAGGAGGAAAGUAAAGCAACCGUGGAGAGUGAAGAGGCGUCUUUCUAGCUCCAGCACCAAGCACACCACACCAGUCAUCAGCUAAUCUGAUGACAUGGCAGGAAAUUUAAGAGGGGAGAGAAGGAAUUAGUUUCAUCUAGAUGAAAUUCUUCUCGCACAAAACCAACUCUGAAUGUGUCAUGAAAUUAAAUGUACCCCAUGCCGCUUUUUAUGCGCUCUUAUUAAUGUUGCUUUGUCUAAGUUCAAUACACUUAUCAAGACUAUCGCAUUUGGUGACUGGCAGUCCACCUAAGGGUACCAAGAUGGUUGAUUUGUAAACAGAGAGGAUCACAAGACCAUGAACUACUUGAUGGUAAUGCAAGGCACAAGACAUAGAGAUUUAUACAUGUUCGAGCCGUUAGUGUAGCGUAAUACCCUACGUCCUGUUUUGGGGGAUUGUAUUGCGCUCUGCACUUGGGUGUUGGUUGUUAAGUUGAGGGAUUGGCCGUCCUCCUAGGGGUACCCCUACGUACCCUUAUAUACUCCCCUAAUAACUCUUCUUAAUAGGAUAGAUUACCAAGUAGAAUUAAUUAUGCAUGCACGCUUGCAGUAAUUGUCGCACCUAUUAGCCUUCCUUAUUUAGCGAGACUUCCUCGGGCAUCGAUGGUGUGCCGUUUCUAUAGUGAACGGUAAUGAAUGUGGACACUUUUAUGAGUGCUGACAUGAAAGGUUCAAUUUGUAUGAAUGAUCUUCUAUAGGUACACUAACCGCGCUUAGGUUACGUUAACAAAAGGUUAGAGAAUUGACUAGUUAUUAUAGGAAGAGCCGUAAACUGUUGCCUCGCCACCAGCACUAACCCCGUAAGUCCAAGUAAUUGGCAGUUUUUUCAUUUGUGAGGACGCAUAGGUCAUGCAUGCAUCAUGUUAAAAACUUGCAAAUUGGAAAUUGGAACAACUUUCCUAUAGAUGAUUGGGAGGACUAAUGUCACUCUCAAAAAAAAUUUUGCCAAAUCACCUAAGGAUUUUCUAGUUGUCUCGAACUGCAGCUAACUACUGUCAGAAUUUUUUUUCUCCGAGCUCUUAAAUGGUCUUGGUUCCAGAAUUUAGUAAAUGAUAUGCUGUAAAAAUUUCAUAAAUUUUGGUCAAGUGAAACUCGAGUUAUGCUUCAAUAAAUUCCCGGGUUGACUCGUACCCAAAGGAGGAAGUUGCAGAGGUUAAGGCUGCAGGAGAAGAGGGAACAGAAGCUGGAGAAGCGAAGGAAUGAGGCAUUCAACACGAAUAGACCCAUAGUCCCUCAGAAGAAGGAGUGGAGAGUUAAGGCCGAUACUCCCAACUCCACCAGUCAGACCUGCAGAAGGACCGGUCGGACCUAGUGCGGUCGGCACGGUCAGGGCGGUCACUGGCGCAGUCGUCGUGGUUGAUGACUCGGUCGGCGCGGUCGUCGGCGCAGUCAGACCGGUCGAGGGGUCGGCGAGGAGCGGCAGCGGGGUGACAAAGUAACUGCGAGCGCGGCGGGGCGGAGCUUGAGCGGCGGAGGCGGAUGGGAGGGGUGGAGGUGGCGGUGGAUGUGGAGGGGAGGUAGCGGAGGGGGAGGAGGAGGAGGAGGCAGAGGAGGCCGGCGGUGGGCGGAGGAGGUGGAGGAGGGUGAGGAGGAGGAGGAGGCGGAGGGAGGUCAGGGCUGGCGGGGGAAUUUUCUUUUUUUAAGAACGUUUAGCCUUAUUAUCACCUAGCGGAGGCGGAUGGAGUUCCACAACAUGGUGUAUCGGACGGGCAUUUCAUUGAAGUCCCUAGGGGCGUCCAAUGGGUGGCUGUAGUGGGUGUACAUCACGACGAGCGUCUGUAGCCAUUGCGACAGCCUAGAGCACGACAACGAGGCGGAAGACCCCGUCACGGGUGCAGAUGGCCAGCGUUUUUUUAAAAAAAAACUUACAGGUGGCCAGUGUGGUGGGCGUGAUUGGGCUUAUCACCAGUGGCGGAGGAGGCGGACGCACGAAGCGACAGGAAUGGCGCCGAGUUUGGUCGAACCAUCUGGAAACUAGAGUUGUAACGCUUGCACUGGACGGCUGAGAUUUACGAUGCUCGAUAUCUGACAGGCGAAAAAGGGAGAGACUUGGCCCAAUCAUUGCAGAGAAACUUCACCGGAGUUAGGUCUUUAAAGAAGAUUGUAAGGCCUGAUUGGUUUGGGGAUCAAAAUGUAUCAAACCAAAAUCAGGGUAAGCCUAAUAAUUUUGGCAGCUGUGUAUAUUUAGAUGCAUAUAAACAUUUAUAAACCUAAAAAAUUAAAACGACCUGCAAUUAAAAAUGGAGGGGUAAAAAAGAAGGCCCCGACAAACGCGUCAGCACAUUCCUGCCUUUCUCCCCCGAAUGAGUAAACUCCAAUCCAAAAUUUGACUGUAUUUUGUUAACGGUUAUAUAUCAUAAGUUUCAUAACAAUAACCAGCUAGGGCUAAUGAUGAUAUGAAUUUGGCCACAAUUUUUGUUCUUGGGAGGUAUCUGUGAGGUGAGAAAAUGGGCAACAUGUGUGGAAAAUGCUAAUACGCCUACUGUGUGGCAUAUUUUGCGUUGUAUCAUAUACUUUCCGGAACAGUUGUAAUUACCACAUCUUUUUUCCCCAGCGGAGUCGCCAAAAUGUGUUGGCGCCUUUUCCGACCAACACAUGAGUGCGCUAGCUCGCGUGUAGAUUGGAAUUCUCCUCGUUGAAGCUCCUGCACCUGGCCGGUCAGAUCGGUCAGGGGGUCCGAUCGGGCCGGUCCUCGUAGGGGCACCAUGAAAACCUACGUCCACCACCUCGGGAGGGACCCUUUCGGAGAUGGCGAACCUAGGGUUGCUCUGAGAUCGGCAGGCCAAUUUAAACGUUCUCAAACGCCGCCGGGACAAAAGAUGAAAGCAAGUGGGUUGGAAAAGCUAAGGUUUUGAGAUAAAAGGGUAAAAAGAUAUGUUUGACGAUUAGGUGAUGCCCCUCAAUCCAACUUACCAAUAUUGAUACAAGAUAUGCUCAACUUGUGAACUUAACUGAGGUAUAUGCUUCCUAUGUUCGUCCGUUCCAGUAAUUGUCUAAGGCAACGCGAAAUCCAGUUACUGUGGGCUAAUAACAACCUAUCUGUUGGUGUUUCUUGGUGUCUAUGGGUGUGCUUCUGAUUUGCAUGCUUUUUUUGUUUGUUGUGUGAUGAAAUAAGGCACUAUGUACAUCUUUGCUUAUUAUUUCCCACUGAUAUAUGGGUACGGACGUGUAAUCAUUAAUUGUGCUAUUCAUUCAGCUGACGACAGUCAGUUGACAUCACUUGAAAGUAUGCUUGAAUUCGUAAGGUGUCCCGUGCAAGUAGCGUGGCUACAACCGCAGCAAUAUUUUUUUCUGAUCAAAAUCGAUCGUCCUUUUUUGUUGAAAACAUAAGUAUGAUAUACUUCACGUGAUGUUAGACUUGAAAAUUUUUGAGUGCAAUAUAUGAGUAAGUAUUCAAUACUAACAUUUUUUCUCUAAACAUUAACUACCAACAUAGCUUAUCAGAUAAUGCAGCAUUGUUUAUCCGACAUGCAUAACCUCCUAACACUCAGACACUGAGACACACCAUCCAUUACCGUCACUGAAUCUAUGUCAGCGUGCUGAGCCAGGGUUAGGAACCUCCACUAACUCGUUAGAGGCAAACCCAAGAUCUAGACUGCUUCUGCUUAAUUCCAUCACUAGCUUAAUCCACUAUGAAAUGUAAAUGCACAACACUCUUAGCAAUUCGCUCAUAAGAUUCUUGAAUUUGGCAAAUUUUUGGUGCAAUCUUCACUGCGAGAAAAACGACCUUUUGUCCAACAUAUUAGUACCGGCCACAUUUCAACCCGUACUAAUACCAACAUUAGUAUCGGAUCCAAUUUAGUAGCCACCGGAGACCUUUUAGUACCAGGUCAUAACACCACCCAAUACUAAAAUGUUGAAGAUAGGUUGCCAAUGGUGAGGUGGAGCGUGGGGUCGAUGACGGUAAUAGCGGCGGGGAACUUCAACCCCCAGCCGAAGGGGCCAUGGCAGGUGGCAGGGAGAGGUUGAGGCUGUAGAGGAGAGGGUGUUUGAGCUUUGGGGGUGGCGAUUUGGAUUUGUUGAAGGAUAGCGGUGGGAUUUGCUGCUCAUUGUGGUUCAGGUGGAGGAACAAAGUAGAAAGAAAGAGACGAAAAUGUGGCCAACACUUUCAAGGAAAAGCAUGAGGUGACAUGGAGGAAUGCAUGAGCGAGGGUGUGGAUAGGCAACCCUUGAAAUGGAUUUCCAAGGACGGAUCACGGGAUGAACCAUCCCUGGAAAUGGGGCUAUUUUUAGGAGCGGAGGGAAACAUGGCCUGCAUCUAUAAAUAAGUAUUUUUAGGGGUAGGUCUUGUUUCUGUUCGUUCUAGGAAAUGUACAUUUCUAGGGGUACCCCACCCCAUAAUUGUAACACCUGGUUUUAAAACAAAACCAAGUGUUACCUAUAUGUAUGCCAGGAUCUAGUUUCAUAUAUAUAGUGAUAUCAUCAGUGAAUAAUAGUAACAAUAUCACGUAAAAAAAUAUAAAUAAUGACUUACGAGUCUAUCAGAGAUAUACAACUUAAUCAUGGAAAUCAAGGCUCCAAACUUCACAAGCAAUCGACUGUGGGUUGCGUACAUCUAGAACUCAGCAUCAUCUUGAGAAAACAUCACACACCUUCUUCUGAGCAGCAGUAAGUAAGGGUGAGUACACUUAUGGUUGGUACUCAGCAAAACCAUAUUGUGCCAAUCAUGCACUCAUCACACUACCGAGGUGUGACUACAUAGGGACACUACAAGAUCUUUACAAAGAUUCCCUAAUAAGUGGUAACCCGCUAAGGUUUCAUGUCGAAGUAGAGCAUAAACCUCUCUCAAGAUUGCGAAGCUAACAUAGAGCAGAUCAGACUGAGGGUCGGGUUACACCUCAUCAACGCCUCCCCUCUUGUCCUUUCGGUAAGAUUACCUCAAGCUGGAGUCUCUAAUUAAUUAGCCAAGACCAGAGCCAUAUAGUCCUUGUAGUUGCACUAUUUUCCUGGGUGGUUCUUCAUGUUCCAAUUAAUGCAUGGUAUUCUUGUAAAAUAAGAAUAGAUAGAAGGAUGGUUAAGGACACCUACCUUUAUCCAACGAAAAGUUACUCUUACUGCUCUUUAGCUCUUGCUCUCUUGAAACUCUUAAUCUUCAAAUCUUUUGAACAACUAUCCUUCUAUUUGAAGAAAUCAUCGGCACAAACAUAUAAGCAAACAAAAAAAGUACAAUUAAGAACAAUACACCAAAACAAAAAAAAUCUUGAAAAGAGUAUAAAGGAUAUGGCUCAAUUCUAAGAUCGCGAGGAUGUAAGAAACGCUUAAAACCAAACUAAGGUUGAAAAGACAAAGCUAUUGAGAGAUUUGAAUUAUAAAAGAAAAAGAAAAGCCUACGUGCUUCAUAUAUUUUAAUAAAGAAAACAAUGUAAAGAUAUUUUAGAGAAAAAUCCUUAUCAAGUUAUAUUUAUAUAUGAAAAGAUCAAGGUAGAACUUCGUCAAAUUUUUAUUUAUAAACAUUAAAGUACAAUUUAGGCAAAUUAAACAUUUAAUUUGAAAAUAAAGUAAGAGCCGCAAGACUCAAGGAACAAGCUAAACCAUUCAGUGGAUCUUCGGGGGUCUAGAUGCAAAAAGCUCAGAACUUUCUUCCUCAUGGCCGACGGUAGCUUGUACAGCCAAAUCACUGGCGCUACGGCGGCUGGGGUCUCCGGCGGACGGCACAGGAGGUGGAGGAGGUCCAGGGGAUCUAGUGGAGGCUCUUACCGGUGGCGGAGGUGAAGGGGGGCGGCCGAAAUUCGGAGGCGAUAAUGACCGCAGCGGUGGCUCGAGCUCCGCGCGGUGGCAACGCUCCGGUGAUGGAGGGGCGUCGAGGGCUGGCGUCAGUUCUUCAUCUUGGUGCAGGGACACUCCAGGUGGCAUCAGCAUGCUCCAGUUCGAACGUCAACCGCGACGAAACGGGCGGCCAACUCCUACGGCACUUCGGCUCUAGCGAUCGAUGGCGCACGGCGCUGCGCGAGCAGGCGAGGUGAGGCGCGAGGGAGGAAGAAGGGAUGAUGCGGAGCCUCAAGCUUGCUAUUUAUAGGGGCGUGGGAGGUGUGCCUUGGAGUGGCACGCACGAUGAGGAAACGACGGCAGUGGCGCAGUCCGCUUGGUGGCCGGGCUUAGAAGGGCCAAGCUGGGCCAACUAGUGGCGGACGGGUCAGAGCGGGCUGAUGCGAGUCAAGCCCAUAGCCUCGGCCCAAACUGAUAGGAUAGGUUUUUUUAUUAUUUUUAGAAAAUAAUUUCCCGUGGAAGGAAAAUCCAGAUAAAUCAAGAUAAUUCAAUAAAAGCUACAAAAAAUACUCUAAAAAUUCCCAAAAAUUUUAGGAAAAAUCCUAGUCGUAGAUUGGGACAUGAGGAAUCCAAAUAAAAUACUUGGAGCCCAUGAAAAAGGAAUUAGAGCCUUCUACUAAAUAGAUUUAUUUCUAGGAAAAUGAGAAUAAAUACCAGAAAGAUCUGGAAAAUUCUCAGGAGAAUUUGGUCGUCGUCUAAAUGCAUUUUUGAAACUUUUUCACUCAUGAAAUACUAUAAUGCAUCGGCAGGAAUGCAAAACACGUAGAAACAUUUUAUUUCUUUCAAAAUCAAUGAAUUGUUUUUCCUAUACUACAUUUCCUGUCAAAAAAAUAAAUGUUGAAAUUUUUUUAAAAUUAUGAGAAAAUCAUUGUUUAAUUAUUAUUUUUAUUUAAUCACAUCCUAAAAUCUAAAAAUUUCAGGGUGUGAAUAAUCCACCCCUAUAAAUCCAUUUUUAGAGGUGGAUGAAUUGCUACAGUAACACCUAUUUUUUGGUUGGGGGGCUUCUCAUCCAGCCAAAAAAAUCAAGUGGCACCUAAAAAUCAUUUUUUAGUAGUGAUCGUACACGCGCUUCACUGCCAUGAACGCCGCCAUGCAUACCGCUCAACCAGCCGCCGGCGCCAUAGAUGGUGGCAUUCCGGUUCUUUCCCCAGUGUGGCAGGCCGCCGUACUUGCCCAUUGCCAUCUGCAUCUUGAUCUCGUCCACGACCUCCAAGUUUUGCACUGCACUAUGGACAAAAUAGUGCCCAUUAUCGUGCAGGGUUUUCCAUGUGAAUUGGCCCAAGGUACAUUCAACUUAUUUUGGCUGGCUUGGUCCCACAGUUUGAACCCAGAUUUUGGAUCUUUCCGCAUUUAAAUUGGUGCUGCUGCUGCAUUUAUUUGAUAAUGGUGCAAGAUAUGGAACCAUACAACAAAGGUAACUCAUCAUUAAUUUAGAAGGGUGCACAGAUUCAUGUAAUAAAUAAUCUACACCACCUAAGAUGUGUCUCUACCUCUAUAUAAACAAGAGCAAUCAAAGCAAUAUGUGCAUACUGGAACAAAAUAUCUACAGGCAUACCAAUAGUGUUCCUUUUCAUAUGGCAGUGAUCAAGAGCAGCGCAGUGAGGUCCAUGUGUGCUGCACUUUGCAUUCUUUUGAUAAUGUCUUCAGCACUCUCAGAGCUGGUGGAAGUUGUGUAUCUAACUGCUUUUCUACUUCCCAUGGUUUCAUUAUAUUCGUGGGGUUUACUAGGUGCGAUGUGGAUUUCAUGCACAUGAUCACGCUGAGUGUGACCCUAUGGACUGAUGCACUGAUCCGAAAUGCGAGGAUGAAUGUCAGAACAAAAAUACUGACCUACCUAUUGAACCUGAGUGCACCACACCUAAGGAGUGUUGCUGCACAUUUUAUCGGGAGGAAGAUAAUUCACUUCUUUGAAUAGAUUAAAAUGGUUGCCGAUGGCUAGAUUCAUUUCAUGGAUGCAGCCGAUACCAGAAUAGUACGCUUGCAUGUAAUGCAUCCAUAAUAUGUUUCUACCCAAAUCUAAUAAAAUAAAUGUGUCCCAUUUGUCCUCUUUUCCUCUAGUGUUUUUUUUACUCCCAAAUUCCAUGCUAAUAAAUGCUGCAUACAUGAUUUUAUUUUAAAAACAUUUCUGAAUACAUUUAAUUUGAUAAGUUCAAACACCGAGUGAGUCUUCUAUCUAUUGUAGGCUUAUGUUUAGUGAAGUGUGCCGGGCCUACUACUUCGGUGUUGGGCUGAGCCCACAUGAGAGCAGCUCCAGCGUUGCUCUUUUGAGGGUGCUCCAAGGAGAGAGAAAAAUAUUCUCCGGCAGCUUCACGCUGGAUCAGAGGGUGCUAGGGAGGUGCUAGGGAGCAGCUGAUGAUGAGUUUUGCACCAGGCGCUACGCAUUCAAUAUAUUUUCUGAAGUAACGUGGUUGGAUGGAUAGGUGAGAUAGUGGGAAGAAAAGCUAGAUCAAUGAUUCUUUAUUCAGCUGGAUCAAUGAUUUCUGAGAUGAGGUACUCAGCAGAUUGAACCGCCACAAGUGCCCUUCUCUUCUUAUCAGCCCGGUGUGCCUUGGUAUUGUCUUCCUGAAUAAUGGCCUUAUUAACCAGAUUACUAGAGCUGUCGUAGUAACAACCAAACGAACUGCAGCUUAGUACCGAGGCCCCUUCUCAAGCAAGCCUACUUUUUAGCAUGACAACUGGCGUACCGAGCAAGUUGAUUAACACUAUUAGCAUAUUGGAACACAGUUUGAUUUCUUUGUUUAAGUGACAUGACCUCUGACGGUUUUCUUUAGGCUGUGGAAAACGGCUCGUACCAACUCUGCCCGUUGAGAUGACCACACCCUGUUUCCAUUACCCCGUUAGGAAUGGAAACACAAACCAUUAUCUUGUACCCUAUCUUAACUCUGAAGUCUUCUUGGAAUAAUUUUCCGAUAACGGAAGUUUUAUUGAUUUAAUAAAUGUUACAUCACGGUGAUAUAAUUAACUUGAAAUCCUCCCAGCAUGUGCAAGCACAGAGCCUUACAGGCAGAAACAAAUGCAGAUGCGCUAAUGACCAUCAAUCCGAGGACUCCGCCACCCAUGCACUUAGGUAAAAAAAUUCCUCGACCACUUUCACCAAGCACUGAGAUGAGAUGCCGCUGCAACGGAAACAUAUGCCGUAGACUUUUGGAGCAUAGCCCAUGUACGAAGCUAGUGGAUAACUCUAAAGAUAACCUGCAUUGGAUGAGAUAAGGGUUUGUUUUCAAAUACCAUAGCAUUCUUGCAGAGCAACAAUAACAACAUAGUAGCAAUCACCCCAAGUAAAUAAUGCCCGUCAACCAAGUGCCGAAAAUAUUUUCUAGGCUAAGGGGCUUGAGAAAGACUUCAGUUGCAAACAUAUCCGUAUUAUCCUCACUGAAUGGUCAUAAGUGUUUCCCUUCCGUUGCCGACACAAGACCAUCCGACGGCGAAGGGUGACUAACGCCACUAGCUGGUAAACUAAGUAUGCUGGAACUUGUCCACUAAGGUUAGAGUCUAGCUAACUCAGCAUGGGUGCCCAUAUUUCUUAAUUAUGUUUCCGUUGGUUGAUAACAUACCCAUCGGCAUCCUAUCGUCAUGACUUAAUGAAUCCCAAUAUCUUCUAGACUAACGUUUACUUACAUGAGUAGGGUGUGUAUGCAUGUGUGGUUAACAGGUAUUUACUUUAAGGUCGGCUGGGCCGGCUUUCUCGAUGUGUCUAAUUAUGCUUAAGAAAAAGAAUCACUAGUGGAAAACUGAGUUUUAGUCCCGGUUGCAGACACGCAUAGAUGUCAAAAAUCCAACCGGAACUAAUCAUUCGGACUGUAAUAAUAAAAUUUGUUUGAAAUUAAAUACAUUGCAUUUAAAUUUUCAUGGGCAUUUAAACCUUUUUCAAAAUAAAUUAAUGAAUCAUAGGAGUUCGUUGUUGCAUUCACGAUGGUGCAUUAUUUUUGGUUGCUUGAAUUCAAAUUUGUGUUUGAAUUCAUCUGUUUGACUCUUUUAAACAAAUAGGAAACCCCUUUUCUUUUCCCUCCCUUUUCUUUUCUUCCUUUCAGCCUGUUUCUUUCUUUGGGCCCACUUCCUUCUCUUUCGCCCAGCAGCAAAACUGAAUAUGCACUUUGAAGAUAAACAUGCGAACCAUCAAAGGGCAGCAGACAACUUACAUACGCGACGGAGCGUUCUAAAUGGCAGAGUAGCCUUGCUGCCACGAUCCACUAAGAUCCAGCCCCACGUCGCAUGAAUUCCUCCCUCCCCCCUCCACCCCCGACAACGGCUUCAGGCUUGGACCCGCUACGACGACCAAGGACAAAUGCGCUCAAGGCUUGGGAAGAAAUUAACUUCCAUUGUCGGAACACUUGUUAAGGAUUACAAGAGACCAUAUCGCAAGUUUAUCUUCUUAGGUAUGGUCCACAAUGGAAGAGAGAUCUCCUAACUUGACCAAGCGGAUGUACACACUAUCAUUUGGCACGAAUCAGGCCAAGUCAGAUAGGUGCUAGUGGAGUUCCAUAUUCCACUACGUCCGGUAUGUAACUCAUAAUCGACCACCGGGGAGGGACAUGUGUGGGAUGGAUCGAAGACAAGACAAUGGCCAACACACGCAUGGACAUACCGGCCACAGGGUACCAUUACGUGUUUGUUGGACCCAACACAUGAAAAUAGCUGCGUUGGCCAUGAAAAUGUUUCCUAUAGGUCACACCUAGUGGCAUCAAAACCAUUUAGUGCCACUAACUGGUUGUGAUGAUUGAUGUCACAAACGGUUCUUUGUGCGUAGCGAGUUUAUAGCUGUAAUUCAAUUGAACCUGUUCUAGUACCUUGAACAACUAGUUCUUGAUGAGUAGCCAGGAGUGACGUUCCAUUUGUAACUAUUUAUUCUCUAUUAGUCUAAUGUUGUGAUAAAUGAUUUGCGUUGUCAGUUUAUGCACUUUGGCAGCCUGGAUGUAUGUCUUUUGAAGUAUGUGUAACUUUCUCUAGAAUUGAGGAACUUUAAUUGACUAAGUGGUCUUGGAUUUACAGCAUCAACCACUAUAAUUAGCCAUUGCUCCAAUGGCCCAUUUUUUCCGUUAAUGCUAUAUGAUCCGACACCAAUAUGUGUACAAACAUAAGAGCAUCUGACGAGUAUCAUUUUACGGUGAAGACAUUGGAUCCCCACUCGCACUAACACAUUGCAAAUGCGAAAAGCAGGACCGGGUCUCCCCCCUGCAAUAAAUGCCAUUUUAACUGGUCCUAUAAACUGUUUUCUAGUGGUGUGAUGUAGUCUGUUGGAAUCAGCACCGUGGAACCAUCUGACAUUCAUACAUUAGCUUCACCAAACAAAUAUUCUUCUGUGCAUUAAAGCUUCAUACUUCAACAUGUACAAGUUCUCUAUGUAGGAUAUUUCAGCUAGAAGAUCUUCCCUUUCUUGAACUAGCCAUUUGAGCAUUAUUCAUUCUCAGGCCCAUUGUUCCAACGGCUUGCACGUUCUUGGAAUGUGUUAUCAUGGAAUGCUAGGGGUAUCGAUUCGUAGACAAGAUGGAAUGUCGUCAAGAGCAAAAUAUCUGAAUCCAACUGUGAUAUUGCCUGUUUACAAGACACCAAAAGGGAGUUUUUUUAUGCUAGAUAUAUUAGGAACUUCUAUCUCCCACAGUUAGAUUCUUUCGAUUUCCUCCCAUCUAUUGGCAACUCAGGGGGAACUAUUAUAGUGUGGAAUGGUUCCAAAUUCAAGGGGGAACCUAUCUUUCAAAAUCUUUAUGCCCACUUUGUAGAUUUUCAGUGCAAGCUAUCAGGGGAACGUUGGAUCCUCACGAAUAUCUACGCCCCAUGUACUCCGGAGGGGAAGCUAUCCUUUAUUGACUGGUUCAAAAGGGUUGAAAUACCAGAGGAAAAAAAUUGGCUAAUAGUUGGGGACUUCAACCUUCUUAGGAAGCCGGAUGACAGAAACAAUCCGGGGGAAACAAUCCGGGAGGAAAUGUUCAGGAAAUGCUUCUCUUCAAUGAAGCUAUUAGCAGGCUUAGGCUCACAAAAAUUCAGCUCAAAGGAUGCAAGUACACUUGGUCCAACAAACAGCAGAAUCCUCUUCUGGAGAGGCACGAUUGGUUCUUCAUAUCUAACCCUUGGACCAUCUCCUAUCCCAAUACUUAUGCCUCAUCGCUGUCCAGUGACUCCUCAUAUCAUGUUCCUUGUGUAGGCUCGAUCUCUAAUAGCAUUCCACAGCCACAAGUUUUUAGAUUUGAGAAUUAUUGGCUAGAACAUGAUCGGUUCCCAACCAUUCUCCAACAAGGUCGGGCAACUCCACUUCUAGGCACAGAUAGGGCAAAGAACAUCGGGGCCAAGUUCAAAAACCUGAGGAAGGUUUUCAGGAUCUAGAAAGCAUAGCUCCCCAGUUUGGCGAAAGCAAUCCAGAGCACCAAAGACACCAUUCAACUCCUUGACAUCAUCGAAGAACUUAGAGAUCUUACCCUGCAAGAAUGGAACUUUAGAGAAGUCAUCACAUCACAUCUGAAUAGCUUGCUCCACCAACAAAAAGUCUAUUGGCAGCAAAGAAGCUCCAUCAAUUGGGCCAAAAUGGGGGAUGAAUGUACAAAAUUCUGCCAUGCAAGGGCCUCAGUCAGAAAUAGAAUCAAUUAUAUCACUUCUUUAGUUGAUGCCAAUGGACAAAUUGUCUCUAAACAUGAAGCUAAAGCCAGGAUUCUUUGGGAAGCUUAUAAGGAAAGGAUGGGGAGAUUUGAAUUUACUCACAUGUACUUUGAUCUUUCUACUAUCUUGACAUCAGAUCCAAAUUUGGAAUGGCUAGAAUCUCCCUUUAUGAAAGCAGAGAUCGACACAAUUACAGGGGAACUUCCAAGUAACAAGUCCCAAGGCCUAGAUGGCUUGAAUGGAGAGUUUCUCAAGAGAUGUUGGGACUUGAUAGCUGAAGAUUUUUAUAGACUGUCUGAAGGUUUUCUUGACAUAAGUGUGUGUGUUCAGAGCAUUAAUGCUUCAUACAUCACACUAAUCCCCAUGAAAGACUGUCCCUCUCAAGUGGGAGACUUCACGCCAAUCUCCCUCCUAAACUCAACGAGCUAAUAACUAAAAUUCUAGCAGAAAGGCUACAACAGGUUAUCUUAAGACUAGUGUAUAAAAAUCAGUAUGGUUUCAUAAAGUCUAGAUCCAUACAAGACUGUUUAGCAUGGGCUUUUGAAUAUCUUCACAUCUGUAAAGCCUCAAAGAGAGAAUUAAUCAUCAGCAAGCUGGACUUUGAAAAAGCCUUUGAUAGGAUUGAGCACCAAGCCAUUUUGGAUAUCUUAAAACAUAAGGGCUUUGGGGACAGAUGGAUUGGGUGGAUAAAGGACAUUCUCAACACUAGAACAUCUUCAGUACUCCUCAAUGGUGUGCCAGGGAAAGUCUUUCAUUGCAGAAGAGGUGUCAGACAGGGGGAUCCUCUAUCCCCACUUCUAUUUGUGCUAGCACCGGACCUUUUUCAGUCAAUCCUAAAUAAAGCCAAAGAGGAAGGAAGCUUACACCUACCGAUCCCUGAAAGAGCUGGACCUGACUUCCCAGUUAUACAAUAUGCAGAUGACACCCUUCUGGUCAUGGAAGCAGAUCCUUCCCUGUUGUUGCAUCUCAAGCAUCUGCUUAAUCAGUUUGCGGAGUCAACUGGUCUUAAAGUAAACUACAACAAGACUGUUAUGGUACCUCUGAACACUUCUGAGGAUAAACUCCGACAACUUUCGUCAAUGUUCGAUUGCCAUGUCGGAAGCUUGCCACUCACCUACUUGGUGCUACCACUUGGUGCAACAAAGCCUAACAUUGAGGAAUUCCUUCCAUUAAUACAGAAGGUGGAGCGAAGAUUGGGAGGCAUCUCUAACAUGUUAUCUCAAGGGGGCAAACUCGAACAGGUAAAUUCAGUCUUUUCUUCCUCACCAAUGUUUCAUAUGGCAACCUUAAAGCUUCACAAGGGGGUUAUCACACAAUUAGAUAAAUAUAGGAAACACUAUCUCUGCAGAGGAUCUAAUUUGAAUUCUAGGAAACCCUCCAAGGCAGCUUGGCCUAUGGUGUGCCUACCAAAACAGCAAGGAGGACUUGGGGUUAUUAACCUGAACAGUCAAAAUGAUGCCCUUCUUCUCAAGUUCCUACACAAGUUCUUCACCAGAGCUGAUACUCCCUGGGUUCAUUUAUUCUAGGAUAAUUAUUAUUCUAAUGGGAAACUGCCUGGACAGCACAAAAAGGGCUCAUUCUGGUGGAGAGAUUUAGUCAAGCUACUGGACAAAUACGAAGGAAUAGUGUCGGCAUGGGUAUCGGAUGGCUCUACUGUAUUGUUCUGCAUGGACACAUGGAUUGAGCAGGUCCUCUACCUGGAAUUCCCCCAGUUAUUCUCUUAUGCCAAAAACAAACUGGUAUCAUAUAAGGAGGCUACAAGCAGAAUAUCACUGUCUCAAAAUUUUCACCUGCCACUCUCAGAAGAAGCUCAUCAGCAGUUGCUGAUUCUGCAGAAUAGAUUGAGGAAUACUGUGAGAGCUCAAGGCAGAGAUCAGUGGACUUACAUUUGGGGAAGCCCCCGCUUUUCGGUAGCAAAAACUUAUAAAGUCAUAACAGGCACAAGAACCAUACAUCCAAUUCAUAGAUGGAUAUGGAAAUCUAAAUGCCAAAAGAAGCACAAGAUAUUUUUCUAGCUAUUAAUUAAAUUCAGACUGAGCACCAAAGACAUUCUAAGCAGAAAAACAAUGUAUUUGGAUACUUAUGCUUAUGUGCUUUGCAUCCUCCAGAAAAAGGAGACAAUGCCGCACUUAUUCUUGAGAUGCAACUUCUCGAAAGCUUGUUGGAGCACUUCCUCCAGGCCACCCUUUCGGAUUUUUAACUCAAUCAAGGAUAAACUGAACGUUCCCUUCUACAUGGAGAUCAUUAUUUUAAUGGCCCGGAGCAUUUGGUCCGUGAGGAAUGACUGGACCUUCAACAAUGUCCCCCCUCGGUACAGAGCUGCAAAAGGAAAUUCAUGGAAAAAAUGAAUACCGUCUGUCUACAUAGAGCGAAAUCUUCCCUAGCUCUUGCCAUGAUGGAAUGGUUGUAAUCUUUUCUUUCUUUUUUCUUCCUUUGUUGUUGCCUUUUCUACCUUCUACUUCUGUUGUUUCUUGGACUCGCCUUUCAUUUAAUAUAUUUCAGUAGGAGCUUGCCCCUCCCGUUCCUUCAAAAAAAAAACUUCGAGCACUUCUCCAUGGGCUUCAUCACCAUAGUUUCGAUUUGGGCAAUUUCAUUGCACCGAACCUUCCAGCUUGCAUUUUCUUAACUGAAUCUCGAGCAUGGGGCAAUAUUCUGGCAUCUACAACGGACCUGCCAUCAAGCAUUCCAAUGUAUAGAUCUAUCCUGUUUGUUUGCCUAAUAUUCGGAUGCAAUACUCCGCCGUGUGUAAAAAAAUCCAAGGCCAACGGACCAUACCGUGUUAACAAUUUUAGUGCCUAAUCCAAUACAAAAUUAGUUCCAGUUUGUACGGCUACUCAUUCAUUGCAGUCUUCAGACCAAAUCUACGGUGACAUAUUUUUGGAAAUAAGCUUGUCGAAAUCACUAUAUUGUAAUUCAAUCACCAAAAUCUGAACUAUGGUCUGAUGGAGCCAAUUCUCCGUGGGCUUUAUUACCAAAGUUUCACCUUAGGCAAUUUCAUUUCACCUAACCUUCCAGCUUGCAUUUUCUUAACUGAAUGUUAAGCACGGUGCAAUACUCUGGCAUGUGCAACUGACCUGCCACCAAGCACUGCGAUGCAUGGUUCUAUCCUCUUUGGUUGCCUAAUAUUCUGUAAAAAAAAUAUUCAAGGCCAACAGACCAUACCGUGUUAAAAAUUUUAGUGCCCAAUCCGAUACAAAAUCAGUUCCAGCAAUGACGGCUAUUCAUCCAUUGCAGUGUUUGGAACACCUCCACAGUGACUAUAUUGUAAUUCAAUCACCAAAAUCCGAAACUAUGGUCUAGUGAAGCUAUAUUGUGUACGAAAUAUUAAUUCAUGGGAUUUGUCAACGAUUUUAUGAAGCUGUAUAUAUGAUACCUUCCACUACGGGAUUUGUGUACAAAAUAUUAAUUCAUGAGAUUUGUCCAUGAUUUUAGGAAGCUAUGAUAUCUUCAACUACCGGAUUGCGUAUAUAAGAUAAUCUUCACCAGUUAUCACAGGAGGAAGCACGCAUUAAAUAAUAAAUAACUAAUGCUGAUUCAACUCUGAGAUGAAAAGGAUUCCGUUCUCAAAAAUCGAAAAAAAGGUAACGUGCUCAUAACAAUGUCGACUCUUCACAUCUGAGAAGCUUAUAAGUGAACUACCUACCGUAUGUUAUUAAAACAUUUUUGCUGCCUAUAAAUUGGGCAUCAUUUCAGCAGACCACCACGGCACCUGAGCUUGCCAUCUUUUCCUGCUCAUCAUAUGUCCCGUAGCUACUAGCUACUAGCUAAGCCAUCUUUUCCUGCUCAUCAUAUGUCCCGUAGCUACUAGCUACUAGCUAAGCCAUCUUUUCCUGCUCACUCAUUUGUCCCGUAGCUACUAGCUAAGCCACCAUAUCAUCCAUGGCUUCUGGUGCCUCCACCACGCUGAAGAUGGCCUCUAUCGCCGCUUGCAUCCUGCUGGUCCUGCUGUCCAAUGGCCACCCUACCGCGGCAGCCGUUGAUUGUAUUGCGGCUUGCAAAGAACCGUGCCAGGGUUUUUCUAACGGGCUCUGCGCGGGUGGAGCCACCAGCGGUUGUACGACUACGGCAGCAGCUACAGCAUGCCGCAAUUUGGCGUUCUCGCAGUGUGCGAACACCUGCUUCACAGUUUGCACUGCUGUGAGCAUCGCGCCUUGCACUUGAAGAUGCAUUCGUGUUCCUACUUCCACAUUAUUGUUACUGCAGAAUAAUAUGGGUCAGUGCACACAAGCAUACAUGAUGAGCCACUGUCGUUUUUCCAUUUUGUCAUUUAUUUAUUGAAGGCAAUGUACGUUUUUCCAUUUGAUCAUUUACUUAUUGAAGGCAAUGUACGUGUCUAUCUCCUGUGUGGUUGAGCAUGUCAUCUUGGAAUUCUGUCCAAAGUUUUACAUACCACCUUGUAUUGUUGUGUGUGGGUAUCAAUAUAAUUUAUGAACUAUCUUCCUUUAUCAUAGACAUAUCAACUUUCCACUGCAAGAAACUAUUUAAUCUGUGACGAAACAAAAUUGUCACAUAUCACUAAAAAAUCGUCAUAAAGCAAUGCCCGUGAUGAUUUCAGAUAACGUCAUGUAUUGAGCGUCACAGAUUAAAUCGAUCGACGUUUUCUUCGAAAUCGUCACAGAUCAACACAAUCUAUGAUGUUUUUUACCUGUCACAAAACACCCUUAGGCCCGUGCAGCAGCCCAGGCCUAGUGUUUGUGACGAAAAUAAACAUCACAGAUGGUUGCCACGUGGCUGGUGAUGUGGUUGAUGACGUGGACGAGGACAUGGCUAGUGACGUCAUUGAUGAUGUGGCCAGUGACGUCGAUGACAUGGAGAGGCUUCACCAUAGUAUUUUGUAUCGCCGUUAGACCUAUCGUUUAUUUCCGCUGCUUUUGAACUCUGAACGCUACUUUUAUGCAUGUGAACUAUAGGCUUGUAAUAACUUAAUGUGGGACCUGUAAUAAUUUAUCUGGAUUGUUGUAAUCUUUGGACUCGUCUUCGUGCGAGUAUACUUUGUUUCGAUCCGAAACACAUGGUUGCAUCGGGUGAAACCCGACAGACUACCAAUUUAAUUCGAUUAAAGUGUCUAUUCACAUUUAAGGCUAUGUUGAAUAUACUUUAGCCGGGUUAACUUGGAUGGUUCUACCACACUGGCGCAUCCCUGAGGAUUCCUAUCUGCUUGCUCGAUGUCAUCUGUAUCUGGCCCUGUGAUAAGGGCGAAGAGUUCAUUGUCUAGAGAGAGGCUUCCAGAACUUUGGGUGAUGACUUAUUUAGAGUCAUUGUCUUCAUGGAUAGAAGACAAAGGUGAUCCCUCCUAGUACGGAAGAACGUUGAGAUGGGCCAUGAAGUGUGAUUCGUUGUCCUGGGCGAGGGUAGGUAGCCUCAUGCCAGGCUAGUAGAUGAAUCUGCCUUGAGGGGUUGAGGUGAUCACCAGGCCCUGCUGCGAACCUGUUAGUGGAGUCUCCUCGUCGGAAUCCAAGUAGUGAUCGUAGUUGUGGUCCUUAAUCGGACAUGAGUUAGAUUGCAACCCGGAUAAGGCUGCUUGAUAGGUGGAAGCUGCGUUACAGAGUCCGAAUGGGAGUUGGCUCGGAAUUUGACUUGAUUCGCACGAUGCAGAACCUGACAAGAUAACCUGCUGGGGUAUUACGUCAAUAGAUCAACCAAAAGAAUGCGCAAUAAUAUCUACCACCAAAGGCAACCCAAAAGCAUUAUCUACCUAUAGUGCCAGAUCAGUCAUCAACAAAGAUCUAUGGAGACCUUGUUUUCUCUUGCUUUGGAUUUGGAGAUAGCAUAGAACAAAAGCCUUGAACCUACAUAAACAAAGAAAAAAAGUACUGCAGUGCUAAAAAUAAGAAAUACCUCGUAGAAAAAUACCAGUAAUGGGUUUAUGGGUUCCCACUCAUCCUUGGGUAGCCACUUCUCUAGAGAGAUUCUUGUGUGUUCCGGUGUUGUAGUUUUCUGCGCAUGAUACAUAGCAACAUAAGGGCUAUUCCCCAACCUCAUAAUUGAUAGUAAUGUACAUCUUCUGGAAAGGACCUCUUUCUGUUGCAAGUGUGACUGCCACGCUCAUGCCAUUAAAGAAGUUAGCAGUUCGGUUAGGCAAUUAGUUGCCCACAGGAGGAAAGUAAAGCAACCGUGGAGAGUGCAGAGGCGUCUUUCUAGCUCCAGCAUCACCAAGCACACCACACCAGUCAUCAGCUAAUCUGAUGACAUGGCAGGAAAUUUAAGAGGGGAGAGAAGGAAUUAGUUUCAUCUAGAUGAAAUUCUUCUCGCAAUAAACCAACUCUGAAUGUGUCAUGAAAUUAAAUGUACCCCAUGCCGCUUUUUGUGCGCUCUUAUUAAUGUCGCUUUGUCUAAGUUCAAUACACUUACCAAGACUAUCGCAUUUGGUGACUGGCACUCCACCUAAGGGUACCCAGAUGGUUGAUUUGUAAACACAGAGGAUCGCAAGACCAUGAACUACUUGAUGGUAAUGCAAGGCACAAGACAUAGAGAUUUAUACAUGUUCGAGCCGUUAGUGUAGCGUAAUACCCUACGUCCUGUUUUGGGGGAUUGUAUUGCGCCCUGCGCUCGGGUGUUGGUUGUUGUGUUGAGGGAUUGGCCGUCCUCCUAGGGGUACCCCUACGUACCCUUAUAUACUCCCCUAAUAACUCUUCUUAAUAGGAUAGAUUACCAAGUAGAAUUAAUUAUGCAUGCACGCUUUCAGUAAUUGUCGCACCUAUUAGCCUUCCUUAUUUAGCGAGACUUCCUCGGGCAUCGAUGGUGUGCCGUUUCUAUAGUGAACGGUAAUGAAUGUGGACACUUUUAUGAGUGCUGACACGAAAGGUUCAAUUUGUAUGAAUGAUCUUCUGUAGGUACACUAACCGCGCUUACGUUACGUUAACAAAAGGUUAGAGAAUUGACUAGUUAUUAUAGGAAGAGCCGAAAACUGUUGCCUCGCCACCAGCACUAACCCCGUAAGUCCAAGUAAUUGGCAGUUCUUUCAUUUGUGAGGACGCAUAGGUCAUGCAUGCAUCAUGUUAAAAACUUGCAAAUUGGAAAUUGGAACAACUUUCCUAUAGAUGAUUGGGAGGACUAAUGUCACUCUCACAAAAAAUUUUGCCAAAUCACCUAAGGAUUUUCUAGUUGUCUCGAACUGCAGCUAACUACUGUCAGAAAUUUUUUUCUCCGAGCUCUUAAAUGGUCUUGGUUCCAGAAUUUAGUAAAUGAUAUGCUGUAAAAAUUUCAUAAAUUUUGGUCAAGUGAAACUCGAGUUAUGCUUGAAUAACUAACCCACUGUUUGCAAACUGCCACUAAGGUUCACAGGUAGCUCUGAAUGUUCGCUUCUCUGUUGAACAUUACUCUGAAACCUAGCAGAAAAGGGUCGAACAGGGACAGCCAGUGCAGCCAAGAAUCCAUGAACUAAGGUCAAUAUCAAGAAGUAUGUCUGAAGCUAGUAGCAGUGGUUCAGGCUCCAAGUACUUCUUGCCAAAAUUGUGUCCUCCCGGGUUGACUCGUACCCAAAGGAGGAAGUUGCAGAGGUUAAGGCUGCAGGAGAAGAGGGAACAGAAGCUGGAGAAGCGAAGGAAUGAGGCAUUCAACACGAAUAGACCCAUAGUCCCUCAGAAGAAGGAGUGGAGAGUUAAGGCCGAUACCCCCAACUCCACCAGUCAGACUUGCAGAAGGACCGGUCGGACCUAGUGCGGUCGGCAUGGUCGGGGCGGUCACUGGCGCAGUCGGCGUGGUUGAUGACUCGGUCGGCGCGGUCGUCGGCGCAGUCAGACCGGUCGAGGGGUCGGCGAGGAGCGACGGCGGGGCAACAAAGUAACCGUGAGCGUGGCGGGGCGGAGCUUGAGCGGCGGAGGCGGAUGGGAGGGGUGGAGGCGGCGGUGGAUGUGGAGGGGAGGUAGCGGAGGGGGAGGAGGAGGAGGAGGCAGAGGAGGCCGGCGGUGGGCGGAGGAGGUGGAGGAGGGUGAGGAGGAGGAGGAGGCAGAGGGAGGUCAGGGCUGGCGGGGGGAUUUUCUUUUUUUAAGAACAUUCAGCCUUAUUAUCACCUAGCGGAGGCGGAUGGAGUUCCACAACAUGGUGUAUCGGACGGGCAUUUCAUUGAAGUCCCUAGGGGCGUCUAAUGGGUGGCUGUAGUGGGUGUACAUCACGACGAGCGUCUGUAGCCAUUGCGACAGCCUAGAGCACGACAACGAGGCGGAAGACCCCGUCAUGGGUGAAGAUGGCCAGCGUUUUUUUAAAAAAACUUACAGGUGGCCAGUGUGGUGGGCAUGAUUGGGCUUAUCACCAGUGGCGGAGGAGGCGGACGCACGAAGCGAUGGGAAUGGCGCCGAGUUUGGUCGAACCAUCUGGAAACCAGAGUUGCAACGCUUGCACUGGACGGCUGAGAUUUACGAUGCUCGAUAUCUGACGGGCGAAAAAGGGAGAGACUUGGCCCAAUCACUGCAGAGAAACUUCACCGGAAAUCAGGGUAAGCCUAAUAAUUUUGGCAGCUGUGUAUAUUUAGAUGCAUAUAAACAUUUAUAAACCUAAAACAUUAAAAUGACCUGCAAUUAAAAAUGGAGGGGUAAAAAAGAAGGCCCCGACAAACGUGUCAGCACAUUCCUGCCUUUCUCCCCCCAAUGAGUAAACUCCAAUCCAAAAUUUGACUGUAUUUUGUUAACGGUUAUAUUUCAUAAGUUUGAUAACAAUACCCAGCUAGGGCUAAUGAUGAUAUGAAAUUGGCCACAAUUUUUGUUCUUGGGAGGUAUCUGUGAGGUGAGAAAAUGGGCAACAUGUGUGGAAAAUGCUAAUACGCCUACCGUGUGGCAUAUUUUGCGUUGUACCACAUACUUACCAAUACUGAUACAAGAUAUGCUCAAUACCCCUCAAUCCAACUUACCAAUACUGAUACAAGAUAUGCUCAACUUGUGAACUUAACUGAGGUAUAUGCUUUCUAUGUUCGUCCGUUCCAGCAAUUGUCUAAGGCAACGCGAAAUCCAGUUACUGUGGGCUAAUAACAACCUAUCUGUUGGUGUUUCUUGGUGUCUAUGGGUGUGCUUCUGAUUUGCAUGCUUUUUUUGUUUGUUGUGUGAUGAAAUAAGGCACUAUGUACAUCUUUGCUUAUUAUUUCCCACUGAUAUAUGGGUACGGACGUGUAAUCAUUAAUUGUGAUAUUCAUUCAGCUGACGACAGUCAGUUGACAUCACUUGAAAGUAUGCUUGAAUUCGUAAGGUGUCCCGUGCAAGUAGCGUGGCUACAACCGCGGCAAUAUUUUUUUCUGAUCAAAAUCGAUCGUCCUUUUUUGUUGAAAAGAUAAGUAUGAUAUACUUCACGUGGUGUUAGACUUGCAAAUUUUUGAGUGCAAUAUAUGAGUAAGUAUUCAAUACUAACAUUUUUUCUCUAAACAUUAACUACCAACAUAGCUUAUCAGAUAAUGCAGCAUUGUUUAUCCGACAUGCAUAACCACCUAACACUCAGACACUGAGACACACCAUCCAUUACCGUCACUGAAUCUAUGUCAGCGCGCUGAGCCAGGGUUAGGAACCUCCACUAACUCGUUAGAGGCAAACCCAAGAUCUAGACUGCUUCUGCUUAAUUCCCUCACUAGCUUAAUCCACUAUGAAAUGUAAAUGCACAACACUCUUAGCAAUUCGCUCAUAAGAUUCUUGAAUUUGGCAAAUUUUUGGUGCAAUCUUCACUGCGAGAAAAACGACCUUUUGUCCAACAUAUUAGUACCGGCCACAUUUCAACCCGGUACUAAUACCAACAUUAGUAUGGGAUCCAAUUUAGUAGCCACCGGAGACCUUUUAGUACCAGGUCAUAACACCACCCAAUACUAAAAUGUUGAAGAUAGGUUGCCAACGAAAAGUUACUCUUACUGCUCUUUAGCUCUUGCUCUCUUGAAACUAUUAAUCUUCUAAUCUUUUGAACAACUAUCCUUCUAUUUGAAGCAAUCAUCGGCACAAACAUAUAAGCAAACAAAAAAAGUACAAUUAAGAACAAUACACCAAAACAAAAAAAAGCUUUAAAAGAGUAUAAAGGAUAUGGCUCAAUUCUAAGAUCGCGAGGAUGUAAGAAACACUUAAAACCAAACUAAGGUUGAAAAGACAAAGCUAUUGAGAGAUUUGAAUUAUAAAAGAAAAAGAAAAGCCUACAUGCUUCAUAUAUUUUAAUAAAGAAAACAAUGUAAAGAUAUUUUAGACAAACAUCCUUAUCAAGUUAUAUUUAUAUAUGAAAAGAUCAAUGUAGAACUUCGUCAAAUUUUUAUUUAUAAACAUUAAAGUACAAUUUAGGAAAAUUAAACAUUUAAUUUGAAAAUAAAGUAUAGGUAAACAUCUAAGCGCAUAACUUUAUGAUUCAGGUUGAACUAACCAAAUAUAAUUAAAAAAACACAUUUCUAUUUAUAUUUGUCAAAAUAAAAUUUAAUAAAUAAAACUUGAGAUAUAACCUAUGUAGCUUUUAUUUAUAAAACAAAAUCAAGACACAUUAAUCAAGUUGAGUUUAAUUGAUGAAAAGCUGAGGUAUAUCUCUAAUUAGCUUUUAGUUGGAAGAGUUGCUUAAAUAAGCAUUAACCAAAUUUACAUUAGUUAUCAAAAUACGAGGUUGAACUUUAAUUAGAUUUUAAUUAGAAAAGCAAGUAUAUAAAUACUUAAUCAUAUUAAUAUUUUAAAUAAAUUAUAAAAUAGGGAACAUGAUUAACAUUGCUUCUAACACAUUGUGUUAAGUUGAUAUGAAUCUAACGCAAUAAGAACGAGGUUAAACGGAGGUAAAACAUGGAAUCUAUGGAUUAAACAAGGUUCUAAGGAUCUAAAUAGAAUUAACUAUAGAUCUCAGGGGCUAGCAGAGAAGAUUCACAAGACAUGGAAAUGUGCUUCAAAAAGGCUGAAAGAUCAAGGUUAGAUUCAUAAAUGGAGCUUGGGUUGGACUAGGUUGUAGGAACCUCAUCUAACCAGGGGGUUCUAUGUAAGAGCCGCAAGACUCAAGGAACAAGCUAAACCAUUAAGUGGACCUUCGAGGGUCUAGAUGCAAAAAGCUCAGAGCUUUCUUCCUCAUGGCCGACGGUAGCUUGUACAGCCAAAUCACUGGCGCUACGGGCGGCUGGGGUCUCCGGCGGACGGCACAGGAGCUGGAGGAGGUCCAGGGGAUCUAGUGGAGGCUCUUACCGGUGGCGGAGGUGAAGGGGGCCGGCCGAAAUUCGGAGGCGACAAUGACCGCAGCGGUGGCUCGGGCUCCGCGUGGUGGCAACGCUCCGGUGAUGGAGGGGCGUCGAGGGCUGGCGUCAGUUCUUCGUCUUGGCGCAGGGACACUCCAGGUGGCAUCAGCAUGCUCCAGUUCGAACGUUAACCGCGACAAAACAGGCGGCCAACUCCUACGGCACUUCGGCUCUGGCGAUCGACGGCGCACGGCGCUGCGUGAGCAGGCAAGGUGAGGCGCAGGGCGAGGGAGGAAGAAGGGACGACGCGGAGCCUCAAGCUUGCUAUUUAUAGGGGCGUGGGAGGUGUGCCUUGGAGUGGCGCGCACGAUGAGGAAACGACGGCAGUGGCGCAGUCCGCUUGGUGGCUGGGCUUAGAAGGGCCAAGCUGGGCCAACUAGCGGCGGACAGGUCUCAGCGGGCUGACGCGAGUCAAGCCCACAGCCUCGGCCCAAACUGAUAGGAUAGGUUUUUUUAUUAUUUUUAGAAAAUAAUUUCCUGUGGAAGGAAAAUCCAGAUAAAUCAAGAUAAUUCAAUAAAACCUACAAAAAAUACUCUAAAAAUGCCCAAAAAUUUCAGAAAAAAUCCUAGUGGUAGAUUGGGACACGAGGAAUCCAAAUAAAAUACUUGGAGCCCAUGAAAAAGGAAUUAGAGCCUUCUACUAAAUAGAUUUAUUUCUAGGAAAAUGAGAAUAAAUACCAGAAAGAUCUAGAAAAUUCUGAGGAGAAUUUGGUCGUCGUCUAAAUGCAUUUUUGAAACUUUUUCACUCAUAAAAUACUAUAAUGCAUCGGCAGGAAUGCAAAACACGUAGAAACAUUUUAUUUCUUUCAAAAUCAAUCAAUUGUUUUCCUAUACUACAUUUCCUGUCAAAAAAAUAAAUGUUGAAAUUUUUUUAAAAUUAUGAGAAAAUCAUUGUUUAAUUAUUAUUUUUAUUUAAUCACAUCCUAAAAUCUAAAAAUUUCAGGGUGUGAAUAAUCCACCCCUAUAAAUCCAUUUUUAGAGGUGGAUGAAUUGCUACAGUAACACCUAUUUUUUGGUUGGGGGGAUUUCUCAUCCAGCCAAAAAAAAUCAAGUGACACCUAAAAAUCAUUUUUUAGUAGUGAUCGUACACGCGCUUCACUGCCAUGAACGCCGCCAUGCAUACCGAUCAACCAGCCGUCGGCGCCAUAGAUGGUGGCAUUCCGGUUCUUUCCCCAGUGUGGCAGGCCGCCGUACUUGCCCAUUGCCAUCUGCAUCUUGAUCUCGUCCACGACGUCCAAGUUUUGCACUGCACUAUGGACAAAAUAGUGCCCAUUAGGUUUUCCAUGUGAAUUGGCCCAAGGUACAUUCAACUUAUUUUGGCUGGCUUGGUCCCAUAGUUUGAACCCAGAUUUUGGAUCUUUCCGCAUUUAAAUUGGUGCUGCUGCUGCAUUUAUUUGAUAAUGGUUCAAGAUAUGGAACCAUACCACAAAGGUAACUCAUCAUUAAUUUAGAAGGGUGCACAGAUUCAUGUAAUAAAUAAUCUACACCACCUAAGAUGUGUCUCUACCUCUAUAUAAACAAGAGCAAUCAAAGCAAUAUGUGCAUACUGGAACAAAAUAUCUACAGGCAUACCAAUAGUGUUCCUUUUCAUACGGCAGUGAUCAAGAGCAACGCAGUGAGGUCUAUGUGUGCUGCACUUUGCAUUCUUUUGAUAAUGUCUUCAGCCCUCUCAGAGCUGGUGGAAGUUGUGUAUCUAACUGCUUUUCUACUUCCCAUGGUUUCAUUAUAUUCGUGGGGUUUACUAGGUGCGAUGUGGAUUUCAUGCACAUGAUCACGCUGAGUGUGACCCUAUGGACUGAUGCACUGAUCCGAAAUGCGAGGAUGAAUGUCAGAACAAAAAUAUUGACCUACCUAUUGAACCUGAGUGCACCACACCUAAGGAGUGUUGCUGCACAUUUUAUCGGGAGGAAGAUAAUUCACUUCUUUGAAUAGAUUAAAAUGGUUGCCGAUGGCUAGAUUAAUUUCAUGGAUGCAGCCGAUACCAGAAUACUACGCUUGCAUGUAAUGCAUCCAUAAUAUGUUUCUACCCAAAUCUAAUAAAAUAAAUGUGUCCCAUUUGUCCUCUUUUCCUCUAGUGUUUUUUUACUCCCAAAUUCCAUGCUAAUAAAUGCUGUAUACAUGAUUUUAUUUUAAAAGCAUUUCUGAAUACAUUUAAUUUGAUAAGUUCAAACACCGAGUGAGUCUUCUAUCUAUUGUAGGCUUAUGUUUAGUGAAGUGUGCCGGGCCUACUACUUCGGUGUUGGGCUGAGCCCACAUGAGAGCAGCUCCAGCGUUGCUCUUUUGAGGGUGCUCCAAGGAGAGAGAAAAAUAUUCUCCGGCAGCUUCACGCUGGAUCAGAGGGUGCUAGGGAGGUGCUAGGGAGCAGCUGAUGAUGAGUUUUGCACCAGGCGCUACGCAUUCAAUAUAUUUUCUGAAGUAACGUGGUUGGAUGGAUAGUUGAGAUAGUGGGAAACAAAUGCAGAUGCGCUAAUGACCAUCAAUCCGAGGACUCCGCCACCCAUGCACUUAGGUAAAAAAAUUCCUCAACCACUUUCACCAAGCACUGAGAUGCCACUGCAACCGAAACAUAUGCCGUAGACUUUUGGAGCAUAGCCCAUGUACGAAGCUAGUGGAUAACUGUAAAGAUAACCUGCAUUGGAUGAGAUAAGGGUUUGUUUUCAAAUACCAUAGCAUUCUUGCAGAGCAACAAUAACAACAUAGUAGCAAUCACCCCAAGUAAAUAAUGCCCGUCAACCAAGUGCCAAAAAUAUUUUCUAGGCUAAGGGGCUUGAGAAAGACUUCAGGUGCAAACAUAUCCGUAUUAUCCUCACUGAAUGGUCAUAAGUGUUUCCCUUCGGUUGCCGACACAAGACAUCCGACGGGGAAGGGUGACUAACGCCACUACCUGGUAAACUAAGUAUGCUGGAACUUGUCCACUAAGGUUAUAGUCUAGCUAACUCAGCAUGGGUGCCCAUAUUUCUUAAUUAUGUUUCCGUUGGUUGAUAACAUACCCAUCGGCAUCCUAUCGUCAUGACUUAAUGAAUCCCAAUAUCUUCUAGACUAACGUUUACUUACAUGAGUAGGGUGUGUAUGCAUUUGUGGUUAACAGGUAUUUACUUUAAGGUCGGCUGGGCCGGCUUUCUCGAUGUGUCUAAUUAUGCUUAAGAAAAAGAACCACUAGUGGAAAACUCAGUUUUAGUCCCGGUUGCAGACACGCAUAGAUCUCAAAAAUCCAACCGGAACUAAUCAUUCAGACUGUAAUAAUAAAAUUUGUUUGAAAUCAAAUGCAUUGCAUUUAAAUUUUCAUGGGCAUUUAAACCUUUUUCAAAAUAAAUUAAUGAAUCAUAGGAGUUCGUUGUUGCAUUCACGAUGGUGCAUUAUUUUUGGUUGCUUGAAUUCAAAUUUGUGUUUGAAUUCAUUUGUUUGACUCUUUUAAACAAAUAGGAAACCCUUUUCUUUUCUUCCUUUCAGCCUAUUUCUUUCUUUGGGCCCACUUCCUUCUCUUUCGCCCAGCAGCAAAACUGAAUAUGCACUUUGAAGAUAAACAUGCGAACCAUCAAAGGGCAGCAGACAACUUAAAUACGCGACGGAGCAUUGUAAAUGGCAGAGUAGCCUUGCUGCCACGAUCCACUGAGAUCCAGCCCCACAUCGCACGAAUUCCUCCCUCCCCCCUCCACCCCCGACAACGGCUUCAGGCUCGGACCCGCUACGACGACCAAGGACAAAUGCGCUCAAGGCUUGGGAAGAAAUUAACUUCCAUUGUCGGAACACUUGUUAAGGAUUACAAGAGACCAUAUCGCAAGUUUAUCUUCUUAGGUAUGGUCCACAAUGGAAGAGAGACCUCCUAACUUGACCAAGCCGAUGUACACACUACCAUUUGGCACCAAUCAGGCCAAGUCAGAUAGGUGCCAGUGGAGUUCCAUAUUCCACUACGUCCGCCAUGUAACUCAUAAUCGACCACCAGGGAGGGACAUGUGUGGGAUGGAUCGAAGACAAGACAAUGGCCAACACACGCGUGGACAUACCGGCCACAGGGUACGAUUACGUGUUUGUUGGACCCAACACAUGAAAAUAGCUGCGUUGGCCAUGAAAAUGUUUCCUAUAGGUCACACCUAGUGGCAUCAAAACCAUUUAGUGCCACUAACUGGUUGUGAUGAUUGAUGUCACAAACGGUUCUUUGUGCGUAGCCAGUUUAUAGCUGUAAUUCCAUCGAACCUGUUCUAGUACCUUGAACAACUGGUUCUUGAUGAGUAGCCAGGAGUGACGUUCCAUUUGUAACUAUUUAUUCUCUAUUAGUCUAAUGUUGUCAUAAAUGAUUUGCGUUGUCAGUUUAUAUAUGCACUUUGGCAGCCUGGAUGUAUGUCUUUUGAAGUAUGUGUAACUUUCUCUAGAAUUGAGGAACUUUAAUUGACUAAGUGGUCUUGGAUUUACAGCAUCAACCACUAUAAUUAGCCAUUGCUCCAAUGGCCCAUUUUUUCCGUUAAUGCUAUAUGAUCCGACACCAAUAUGUGUACAGACAUAAGAGCAUCUGACGAGUAUCAUUUUACGGUGAAGACAUUGGAUCCCCACUCGCAGUAACACAUUGCAAAUGCGAAAAGCAGGACCGGGUCUCCCCCUGCAAUAAAUGCCAUUUUAACUGGUCCUAUAAACUGUUUUCUAGUGGUGUGAUGUAGUCUGUUGGAAUCAGCACCGUGGAACCAUCUGACAUUCAUACAUUAGCUUCACCAAACAAAUAUUCUUCUGUGCAUUAAAGCUUCAUACUUCAACAUGUACAAGUUCUCUAUGUAGGAUAUUUCAGCUAGAAGAUCUUCCCUUUCUUGAACUAGCCAUUUGAGCAUUAUUCAUUCUCAGGCCCAUGGUUCCAACGGCUUGCACGUUCUUGGAAUGUGUUAUCAUGGAAUGCUAGGGGUAUCGAUUCGUAGACAAGAUGGAAUGUCGUCAAGAGCAAAAUAUCUGAAUCCAACUGUGAUAUUGCCUGUUUACAAGACACCAAAAAGGAGUUUUUUGAUGCUAGAUAUAUUAGGAAUUUCUAUCCCCCACAGUUAGAUUCUUUCGAUUUCAUCCCAUCUAUUGGCAACUCAGGGGGAACUAUUAUAGUGUGGAAUGGUUCCAAAUUCAAGGGGGAACCUAUCUUUCAAAAUCUUUAUGCCCACUUUGUAGAUUUUCAGUGCAAGCUAUCAGGGGAACGUUGGAUCCUCACGAAUAUCUACGCCCCAUGUACUCCGGAGGGGAAGCUAUCCUUUAUUGACUGGUUCAAAAGGGUUGAAAUACCAGAGGAAAAAAAUUGGCUAAUAGUUGGGGACUUCAACCUUCUUAGGAAGCCGGAUGACAGAAACAAUCAGGGGGAAACAAUCCGGGAGGAAAUGUUCAGGAAAUGCUUCUCUUCAAUGAAGCUAUUAGCAGGCUUAGGCUCAUAGAAAUUCAGCUCAAAGGAUGCAAGUACACUUGGUCCAACAAACAGCAGAAUCCUCUUCUGGAGAGGCACGAUUGGUUCUUCAUAUCUAACCCUUGGACCAUCUCCUAUCCCAAUACUUAUGCCUCAUCACUGUCCAGUGACUCCUCAUAUCAUGUUCCUUGUGUAGUCUCGAUCUCUAAUACCAUUCCAAGGCCACAAGUUUUUAGAUUUGAGAAUUAUUGGCUAGAACAUGAUCGGUUCCCAACCAUUCUCCAACAAGGUUGGGCAACUCCACUUCUAGGCACAGAUAGGGCAAAGAAUAUCGGGGCCAAGUUCAAAAACCUGAGGAAGGUUUUCAGGAUCUAGAAAGCAUAGCUCCCCAGUCUGGCGAAAGCAAUCCAGAGCACCAAAGACACCAUUCAACUCCUUGACAUCAUUGAAGAACUUAGAGAUCUUACCCUGCAAGAACGGAACUUUAGAGAAGUCAUCACAUCACAUCUGAAUAGCUUGCUCCACCAACAAAAAGUCUAUUGGUAGCAAAGAAGCUCCAUCAAUUGGGUCAAAAUGGGGGAUGAAUGUACAAAAUUCUGCCAUGCAAGGGCCUCAGUCAGAAAUAGAAUCAAUUAUAUCACUUCUUUAGUUGAUGCCAAUGGACAAAUUGUCUCUAAACAUGAAGCUAAAGCCAGGAUUCUUUGGGAAGCUUAUAAGGAAAGGAUGGGGAGAUUUGAAUUUACUCACAUGUACUUUGAUCUUUCUACUAUCUUGACAUCAGAUCCAAAUUUGGAAUGGCUAGAAUCUCUCUUUAUGAAAGCAGAGAUCGACACAAUUACAGGGGAACUUCCAAGUAACAAGUCCCAAGGCCCAGAUGGCUUGAAUGGAGAGUUUCUCAAGAGAUGGUGGGACUUGAUAGCUGAAGAUUUUUAUAGACUGUCUGAAGGUUUUCAUGACAUAAGUGUGUGUGUUCAGAGCAUGAAUGCUUCAUACAUCACACGAAUCUCCCUCCUAAACUCAACCAUCAAGCUAAUAACUAAAAUUCUAGCAGAAAGGCUACAACAGGUAAUCUUAAGACUAGUGCAUAAAAAUCAGUAUGGUUUCAUAAAGUCUAGAUCCAUACAAGACUGUUUAGCAUGGGCUUUUGAAUAUCUUCACAUUUGUAAAGCCUCAAAGAGAGAAUUAAUCAUCAGCAAGCUGGACUUUGAAAAAAGCCUUUGAUAGGAUUGAGCACCAAGCCAUUUUGGAUAUCUUAAAACAUAAGUGCUUUGGGACAGAUGGAUUGGGUGGAUAAAGGACAUUCUCAACACUAGAACAUCUUCAAUACUCCUCAAUGGUGUGCCAGGGAAAGUCUUUCAUUGCAGAAGAGGUGUCAGACAGGGGGAUCCUCUAUCCGCACUUCUAUUUGUUCUAGCAGCGGACCUUUUUCAGUCAAUCCUAAAUAAAGCCAAAGAGGAAGGAAGCUUACACCUACCGAUCCCUGAAAGAGCUGGACCUGACUUCCCAGUUAUACAAUAUGCAGAUGACACCCUUCUGGUCAUGGAAGCAGAUCCUUCCCAGUUGUUGCAUCUCAAGCAUCUGCUUAAUCGGUUUGCGGAGUCAACUGGUCUUAAAGUAAACUACAACAAGACUGUUAUGGUACCUCUGAACACUUCUGAGGAUAAACUCCGACAACUUUCGUCAAUGUUCGAUUGCCAAGUCGGAAGCUUGCCACUCACCUACUUGGGGCUACCACUUGGUGCAACAAAGCCUAACAUUGAGGAAUUCCUUCCAUUAAUACAGAAGGUGGAGCGAAGAUUGGGAGGCAUCUCUAACAUGUUAUCUCAAGGGGGCAAACUCGAACAGGUAAAUUCAGUCUUUUCUUCCUCACCAAUGUUUCAUAUGGCAACCUUAAAGCUUCACAAGGGGGUUAUCACACAAUUAGAUAAUUUUGGCAGCUGUGUAUAUUUAGAUGCAUAUAAACAUUUAUAAACCUAAAACAUUAAAAUGACCUGCAAUUAAAAAUGGAGGGGUAAAAAAGAAGGCCCCGACAAACGUGUCAGCACAUUCCUGCCUUUCUCCCCCCAAUGAGUAAACUCCAAUCCAAAAUUUGACUGUAUUUUGUUAACGGUUAUAUUUCAUAAGUUUGAUAACAAUACCCAGCUAGGGCUAAUGAUGAUAUGAAAUUGGCCACAAUUUUUGUUCUUGGGAGGUAUCUGUGAGGUGAGAAAAUGGGCAACAUGUGUGGAAAAUGCUAAUACGCCUACCGUGUGGCAUAUUUUGCGUUGUACCACAUACUUACCAAUACUGAUACAAGAUAUGCUCAAUACCCCUCAAUCCAACUUACCAAUACUGAUACAAGAUAUGCUCAACUUGUGAACUUAACUGAGGUAUAUGCUUUCUAUGUUCGUCCGUUCCAGCAAUUGUCUAAGGCAACGCGAAAUCCAGUUACUGUGGGCUAAUAACAACCUAUCUGUUGGUGUUUCUUGGUGUCUAUGGGUGUGCUUCUGAUUUGCAUGCUUUUUUUGUUUGUUGUGUGAUGAAAUAAGGCACUAUGUACAUCUUUGCUUAUUAUUUCCCACUGAUAUAUGGGUACGGACGUGUAAUCAUUAAUUGUGAUAUUCAUUCAGCUGACGACAGUCAGUUGACAUCACUUGAAAGUAUGCUUGAAUUCGUAAGGUGUCCCGUGCAAGUAGCGUGGCUACAACCGCGGCAAUAUUUUUUUCUGAUCAAAAUCGAUCGUCCUUUUUUGUUGAAAAGAUAAGUAUGAUAUACUUCACGUGGUGUUAGACUUGCAAAUUUUUGAGUGCAAUAUAUGAGUAAGUAUUCAAUACUAACAUUUUUUCUCUAAACAUUAACUACCAACAUAGCUUAUCAGAUAAUGCAGCAUUGUUUAUCCGACAUGCAUAACCACCUAACACUCAGACACUGAGACACACCAUCCAUUACCGUCACUGAAUCUAUGUCAGCGCGCUGAGCCAGGGUUAGGAACCUCCACUAACUCGUUAGAGGCAAACCCAAGAUCUAGACUGCUUCUGCUUAAUUCCCUCACUAGCUUAAUCCACUAUGAAAUGUAAAUGCACAACACUCUUAGCAAUUCGCUCAUAAGAUUCUUGAAUUUGGCAAAUUUUUGGUGCAAUCUUCACUGCGAGAAAAACGACCUUUUGUCCAACAUAUUAGUACCGGCCACAUUUCAACCCGGUACUAAUACCAACAUUAGUAUGGGAUCCAAUUUAGUAGCCACCGGAGACCUUUUAGUACCAGGUCAUAACACCACCCAAUACUAAAAUGUUGAAGAUAGGUUGCCAACGAAAAGUUACUCUUACUGCUCUUUAGCUCUUGCUCUCUUGAAACUAUUAAUCUUCUAAUCUUUUGAACAACUAUCCUUCUAUUUGAAGCAAUCAUCGGCACAAACAUAUAAGCAAACAAAAAAAGUACAAUUAAGAACAAUACACCAAAACAAAAAAAAGCUUUAAAAGAGUAUAAAGGAUAUGGCUCAAUUCUAAGAUCGCGAGGAUGUAAGAAACACUUAAAACCAAACUAAGGUUGAAAAGACAAAGCUAUUGAGAGAUUUGAAUUAUAAAAGAAAAAGAAAAGCCUACAUGCUUCAUAUAUUUUAAUAAAGAAAACAAUGUAAAGAUAUUUUAGACAAACAUCCUUAUCAAGUUAUAUUUAUAUAUGAAAAGAUCAAUGUAGAACUUCGUCAAAUUUUUAUUUAUAAACAUUAAAGUACAAUUUAGGAAAAUUAAACAUUUAAUUUGAAAAUAAAGUAUAGGUAAACAUCUAAGCGCAUAACUUUAUGAUUCAGGUUGAACUAACCAAAUAUAAUUAAAAAAACACAUUUCUAUUUAUAUUUGUCAAAAUAAAAUUUAAUAAAUAAAACUUGAGAUAUAACCUAUGUAGCUUUUAUUUAUAAAACAAAAUCAAGACACAUUAAUCAAGUUGAGUUUAAUUGAUGAAAAGCUGAGGUAUAUCUCUAAUUAGCUUUUAGUUGGAAGAGUUGCUUAAAUAAGCAUUAACCAAAUUUACAUUAGUUAUCAAAAUACGAGGUUGAACUUUAAUUAGAUUUUAAUUAGAAAAGCAAGUAUAUAAAUACUUAAUCAUAUUAAUAUUUUAAAUAAAUUAUAAAAUAGGGAACAUGAUUAACAUUGCUUCUAACACAUUGUGUUAAGUUGAUAUGAAUCUAACGCAAUAAGAACGAGGUUAAACGGAGGUAAAACAUGGAAUCUAUGGAUUAAACAAGGUUCUAAGGAUCUAAAUAGAAUUAACUAUAGAUCUCAGGGGCUAGCAGAGAAGAUUCACAAGACAUGGAAAUGUGCUUCAAAAAGGCUGAAAGAUCAAGGUUAGAUUCAUAAAUGGAGCUUGGGUUGGACUAGGUUGUAGGAACCUCAUCUAACCAGGGGGUUCUAUGUAAGAGCCGCAAGACUCAAGGAACAAGCUAAACCAUUAAGUGGACCUUCGAGGGUCUAGAUGCAAAAAGCUCAGAGCUUUCUUCCUCAUGGCCGACGGUAGCUUGUACAGCCAAAUCACUGGCGCUACGGGCGGCUGGGGUCUCCGGCGGACGGCACAGGAGCUGGAGGAGGUCCAGGGGAUCUAGUGGAGGCUCUUACCGGUGGCGGAGGUGAAGGGGGCCGGCCGAAAUUCGGAGGCGACAAUGACCGCAGCGGUGGCUCGGGCUCCGCGUGGUGGCAACGCUCCGGUGAUGGAGGGGCGUCGAGGGCUGGCGUCAGUUCUUCGUCUUGGCGCAGGGACACUCCAGGUGGCAUCAGCAUGCUCCAGUUCGAACGUUAACCGCGACAAAACAGGCGGCCAACUCCUACGGCACUUCGGCUCUGGCGAUCGACGGCGCACGGCGCUGCGUGAGCAGGCAAGGUGAGGCGCAGGGCGAGGGAGGAAGAAGGGACGACGCGGAGCCUCAAGCUUGCUAUUUAUAGGGGCGUGGGAGGUGUGCCUUGGAGUGGCGCGCACGAUGAGGAAACGACGGCAGUGGCGCAGUCCGCUUGGUGGCUGGGCUUAGAAGGGCCAAGCUGGGCCAACUAGCGGCGGACAGGUCUCAGCGGGCUGACGCGAGUCAAGCCCACAGCCUCGGCCCAAACUGAUAGGAUAGGUUUUUUUAUUAUUUUUAGAAAAUAAUUUCCUGUGGAAGGAAAAUCCAGAUAAAUCAAGAUAAUUCAAUAAAACCUACAAAAAAUACUCUAAAAAUGCCCAAAAAUUUCAGAAAAAAUCCUAGUGGUAGAUUGGGACACGAGGAAUCCAAAUAAAAUACUUGGAGCCCAUGAAAAAGGAAUUAGAGCCUUCUACUAAAUAGAUUUAUUUCUAGGAAAAUGAGAAUAAAUACCAGAAAGAUCUAGAAAAUUCUGAGGAGAAUUUGGUCGUCGUCUAAAUGCAUUUUUGAAACUUUUUCACUCAUAAAAUACUAUAAUGCAUCGGCAGGAAUGCAAAACACGUAGAAACAUUUUAUUUCUUUCAAAAUCAAUCAAUUGUUUUCCUAUACUACAUUUCCUGUCAAAAAAAUAAAUGUUGAAAUUUUUUUAAAAUUAUGAGAAAAUCAUUGUUUAAUUAUUAUUUUUAUUUAAUCACAUCCUAAAAUCUAAAAAUUUCAGGGUGUGAAUAAUCCACCCCUAUAAAUCCAUUUUUAGAGGUGGAUGAAUUGCUACAGUAACACCUAUUUUUUGGUUGGGGGGAUUUCUCAUCCAGCCAAAAAAAAUCAAGUGACACCUAAAAAUCAUUUUUUAGUAGUGAUCGUACACGCGCUUCACUGCCAUGAACGCCGCCAUGCAUACCGAUCAACCAGCCGUCGGCGCCAUAGAUGGUGGCAUUCCGGUUCUUUCCCCAGUGUGGCAGGCCGCCGUACUUGCCCAUUGCCAUCUGCAUCUUGAUCUCGUCCACGACGUCCAAGUUUUGCACUGCACUAUGGACAAAAUAGUGCCCAUUAGGUUUUCCAUGUGAAUUGGCCCAAGGUACAUUCAACUUAUUUUGGCUGGCUUGGUCCCAUAGUUUGAACCCAGAUUUUGGAUCUUUCCGCAUUUAAAUUGGUGCUGCUGCUGCAUUUAUUUGAUAAUGGUUCAAGAUAUGGAACCAUACCACAAAGGUAACUCAUCAUUAAUUUAGAAGGGUGCACAGAUUCAUGUAAUAAAUAAUCUACACCACCUAAGAUGUGUCUCUACCUCUAUAUAAACAAGAGCAAUCAAAGCAAUAUGUGCAUACUGGAACAAAAUAUCUACAGGCAUACCAAUAGUGUUCCUUUUCAUACGGCAGUGAUCAAGAGCAACGCAGUGAGGUCUAUGUGUGCUGCACUUUGCAUUCUUUUGAUAAUGUCUUCAGCCCUCUCAGAGCUGGUGGAAGUUGUGUAUCUAACUGCUUUUCUACUUCCCAUGGUUUCAUUAUAUUCGUGGGGUUUACUAGGUGCGAUGUGGAUUUCAUGCACAUGAUCACGCUGAGUGUGACCCUAUGGACUGAUGCACUGAUCCGAAAUGCGAGGAUGAAUGUCAGAACAAAAAUAUUGACCUACCUAUUGAACCUGAGUGCACCACACCUAAGGAGUGUUGCUGCACAUUUUAUCGGGAGGAAGAUAAUUCACUUCUUUGAAUAGAUUAAAAUGGUUGCCGAUGGCUAGAUUAAUUUCAUGGAUGCAGCCGAUACCAGAAUACUACGCUUGCAUGUAAUGCAUCCAUAAUAUGUUUCUACCCAAAUCUAAUAAAAUAAAUGUGUCCCAUUUGUCCUCUUUUCCUCUAGUGUUUUUUUACUCCCAAAUUCCAUGCUAAUAAAUGCUGUAUACAUGAUUUUAUUUUAAAAGCAUUUCUGAAUACAUUUAAUUUGAUAAGUUCAAACACCGAGUGAGUCUUCUAUCUAUUGUAGGCUUAUGUUUAGUGAAGUGUGCCGGGCCUACUACUUCGGUGUUGGGCUGAGCCCACAUGAGAGCAGCUCCAGCGUUGCUCUUUUGAGGGUGCUCCAAGGAGAGAGAAAAAUAUUCUCCGGCAGCUUCACGCUGGAUCAGAGGGUGCUAGGGAGGUGCUAGGGAGCAGCUGAUGAUGAGUUUUGCACCAGGCGCUACGCAUUCAAUAUAUUUUCUGAAGUAACGUGGUUGGAUGGAUAGUUGAGAUAGUGGGAAACAAAUGCAGAUGCGCUAAUGACCAUCAAUCCGAGGACUCCGCCACCCAUGCACUUAGGUAAAAAAAUUCCUCAACCACUUUCACCAAGCACUGAGAUGCCACUGCAACCGAAACAUAUGCCGUAGACUUUUGGAGCAUAGCCCAUGUACGAAGCUAGUGGAUAACUGUAAAGAUAACCUGCAUUGGAUGAGAUAAGGGUUUGUUUUCAAAUACCAUAGCAUUCUUGCAGAGCAACAAUAACAACAUAGUAGCAAUCACCCCAAGUAAAUAAUGCCCGUCAACCAAGUGCCAAAAAUAUUUUCUAGGCUAAGGGGCUUGAGAAAGACUUCAGGUGCAAACAUAUCCGUAUUAUCCUCACUGAAUGGUCAUAAGUGUUUCCCUUCGGUUGCCGACACAAGACAUCCGACGGGGAAGGGUGACUAACGCCACUACCUGGUAAACUAAGUAUGCUGGAACUUGUCCACUAAGGUUAUAGUCUAGCUAACUCAGCAUGGGUGCCCAUAUUUCUUAAUUAUGUUUCCGUUGGUUGAUAACAUACCCAUCGGCAUCCUAUCGUCAUGACUUAAUGAAUCCCAAUAUCUUCUAGACUAACGUUUACUUACAUGAGUAGGGUGUGUAUGCAUUUGUGGUUAACAGGUAUUUACUUUAAGGUCGGCUGGGCCGGCUUUCUCGAUGUGUCUAAUUAUGCUUAAGAAAAAGAACCACUAGUGGAAAACUCAGUUUUAGUCCCGGUUGCAGACACGCAUAGAUCUCAAAAAUCCAACCGGAACUAAUCAUUCAGACUGUAAUAAUAAAAUUUGUUUGAAAUCAAAUGCAUUGCAUUUAAAUUUUCAUGGGCAUUUAAACCUUUUUCAAAAUAAAUUAAUGAAUCAUAGGAGUUCGUUGUUGCAUUCACGAUGGUGCAUUAUUUUUGGUUGCUUGAAUUCAAAUUUGUGUUUGAAUUCAUUUGUUUGACUCUUUUAAACAAAUAGGAAACCCUUUUCUUUUCUUCCUUUCAGCCUAUUUCUUUCUUUGGGCCCACUUCCUUCUCUUUCGCCCAGCAGCAAAACUGAAUAUGCACUUUGAAGAUAAACAUGCGAACCAUCAAAGGGCAGCAGACAACUUAAAUACGCGACGGAGCAUUGUAAAUGGCAGAGUAGCCUUGCUGCCACGAUCCACUGAGAUCCAGCCCCACAUCGCACGAAUUCCUCCCUCCCCCCUCCACCCCCGACAACGGCUUCAGGCUCGGACCCGCUACGACGACCAAGGACAAAUGCGCUCAAGGCUUGGGAAGAAAUUAACUUCCAUUGUCGGAACACUUGUUAAGGAUUACAAGAGACCAUAUCGCAAGUUUAUCUUCUUAGGUAUGGUCCACAAUGGAAGAGAGACCUCCUAACUUGACCAAGCCGAUGUACACACUACCAUUUGGCACCAAUCAGGCCAAGUCAGAUAGGUGCCAGUGGAGUUCCAUAUUCCACUACGUCCGCCAUGUAACUCAUAAUCGACCACCAGGGAGGGACAUGUGUGGGAUGGAUCGAAGACAAGACAAUGGCCAACACACGCGUGGACAUACCGGCCACAGGGUACGAUUACGUGUUUGUUGGACCCAACACAUGAAAAUAGCUGCGUUGGCCAUGAAAAUGUUUCCUAUAGGUCACACCUAGUGGCAUCAAAACCAUUUAGUGCCACUAACUGGUUGUGAUGAUUGAUGUCACAAACGGUUCUUUGUGCGUAGCCAGUUUAUAGCUGUAAUUCCAUCGAACCUGUUCUAGUACCUUGAACAACUGGUUCUUGAUGAGUAGCCAGGAGUGACGUUCCAUUUGUAACUAUUUAUUCUCUAUUAGUCUAAUGUUGUCAUAAAUGAUUUGCGUUGUCAGUUUAUAUAUGCACUUUGGCAGCCUGGAUGUAUGUCUUUUGAAGUAUGUGUAACUUUCUCUAGAAUUGAGGAACUUUAAUUGACUAAGUGGUCUUGGAUUUACAGCAUCAACCACUAUAAUUAGCCAUUGCUCCAAUGGCCCAUUUUUUCCGUUAAUGCUAUAUGAUCCGACACCAAUAUGUGUACAGACAUAAGAGCAUCUGACGAGUAUCAUUUUACGGUGAAGACAUUGGAUCCCCACUCGCAGUAACACAUUGCAAAUGCGAAAAGCAGGACCGGGUCUCCCCCUGCAAUAAAUGCCAUUUUAACUGGUCCUAUAAACUGUUUUCUAGUGGUGUGAUGUAGUCUGUUGGAAUCAGCACCGUGGAACCAUCUGACAUUCAUACAUUAGCUUCACCAAACAAAUAUUCUUCUGUGCAUUAAAGCUUCAUACUUCAACAUGUACAAGUUCUCUAUGUAGGAUAUUUCAGCUAGAAGAUCUUCCCUUUCUUGAACUAGCCAUUUGAGCAUUAUUCAUUCUCAGGCCCAUGGUUCCAACGGCUUGCACGUUCUUGGAAUGUGUUAUCAUGGAAUGCUAGGGGUAUCGAUUCGUAGACAAGAUGGAAUGUCGUCAAGAGCAAAAUAUCUGAAUCCAACUGUGAUAUUGCCUGUUUACAAGACACCAAAAAGAAGUUUUUUGAUGCUAGAUAUAUUAGGAAUUUCUAUCCCCCACAGUUAGAUUCUUUCGAUUUCAUCCCAUCUAUUGGCAACUCAGGGGGAACUAUUAUAGUGUGGAAUGGUUCCAAAUUCAAGGGGGAACCUAUCUUUCAAAAUCUUUAUGCCCACUUUGUAGAUUUUCAGUGCAAGCUAUCAGGGGAACGUUGGAUCCUCACGAAUAUCUACGCCCCAUGUACUCCGGAGGGGAAGCUAUCCUUUAUUGACUGGUUCAAAAGGGUUGAAAUACCAGAGGAAAAAAAUUGGCUAAUAGUUGGGGACUUCAACCUUCUUAGGAAGCCGGAUGACAGAAACAAUCAGGGGGAAACAAUCCGGGAGGAAAUGUUCAGGAAAUGCUUCUCUUCAAUGAAGCUAUUAGCAGGCUUAGGCUCAUAGAAAUUCAGCUCAAAGGAUGCAAGUACACUUGGUCCAACAAACAGCAGAAUCCUCUUCUGGAGAGGCACGAUUGGUUCUUCAUAUCUAACCCUUGGACCAUCUCCUAUCCCAAUACUUAUGCCUCAUCACUGUCCAGUGACUCCUCAUAUCAUGUUCCUUGUGUAGUCUCGAUCUCUAAUACCAUUCCAAGGCCACAAGUUUUUAGAUUUGAGAAUUAUUGGCUAGAACAUGAUCGGUUCCCAACCAUUCUCCAACAAGGUUGGGCAACUCCACUUCUAGGCACAGAUAGGGCAAAGAAUAUCGGGGCCAAGUUCAAAAACCUGAGGAAGGUUUUCAGGAUCUAGAAAGCAUAGCUCCCCAGUCUGGCGAAAGCAAUCCAGAGCACCAAAGACACCAUUCAACUCCUUGACAUCAUUGAAGAACUUAGAGAUCUUACCCUGCAAGAACGGAACUUUAGAGAAGUCAUCACAUCACAUCUGAAUAGCUUGCUCCACCAACAAAAAGUCUAUUGGUAGCAAAGAAGCUCCAUCAAUUGGGUCAAAAUGGGGGAUGAAUGUACAAAAUUCUGCCAUGCAAGGGCCUCAGUCAGAAAUAGAAUCAAUUAUAUCACUUCUUUAGUUGAUGCCAAUGGACAAAUUGUCUCUAAACAUGAAGCUAAAGCCAGGAUUCUUUGGGAAGCUUAUAAGGAAAGGAUGGGGAGAUUUGAAUUUACUCACAUGUACUUUGAUCUUUCUACUAUCUUGACAUCAGAUCCAAAUUUGGAAUGGCUAGAAUCUCUCUUUAUGAAAGCAGAGAUCGACACAAUUACAGGGGAACUUCCAAGUAACAAGUCCCAAGGCCCAGAUGGCUUGAAUGGAGAGUUUCUCAAGAGAUGGUGGGACUUGAUAGCUGAAGAUUUUUAUAGACUGUCUGAAGGUUUUCAUGACAUAAGUGUGUGUGUUCAGAGCAUGAAUGCUUCAUACAUCACACGAAUCUCCCUCCUAAACUCAACCAUCAAGCUAAUAACUAAAAUUCUAGCAGAAAGGCUACAACAGGUAAUCUUAAGACUAGUGCAUAAAAAUCAGUAUGGUUUCAUAAAGUCUAGAUCCAUACAAGACUGUUUAGCAUGGGCUUUUGAAUAUCUUCACAUUUGUAAAGCCUCAAAGAGAGAAUUAAUCAUCAGCAAGCUGGACUUUGAAAAAAGCCUUUGAUAGGAUUGAGCACCAAGCCAUUUUGGAUAUCUUAAAACAUAAGUGCUUUGGGACAGAUGGAUUGGGUGGAUAAAGGACAUUCUCAACACUAGAACAUCUUCAAUACUCCUCAAUGGUGUGCCAGGGAAAGUCUUUCAUUGCAGAAGAGGUGUCAGACAGGGGGAUCCUCUAUCCGCACUUCUAUUUGUUCUAGCAGCGGACCUUUUUCAGUCAAUCCUAAAUAAAGCCAAAGAGGAAGGAAGCUUACACCUACCGAUCCCUGAAAGAGCUGGACCUGACUUCCCAGUUAUACAAUAUGCAGAUGACACCCUUCUGGUCAUGGAAGCAGAUCCUUCCCAGUUGUUGCAUCUCAAGCAUCUGCUUAAUCGGUUUGCGGAGUCAACUGGUCUUAAAGUAAACUACAACAAGACUGUUAUGGUACCUCUGAACACUUCUGAGGAUAAACUCCGACAACUUUCGUCAAUGUUCGAUUGCCAAGUCGGAAGCUUGCCACUCACCUACUUGGGGCUACCACUUGGUGCAACAAAGCCUAACAUUGAGGAAUUCCUUCCAUUAAUACAGAAGGUGGAGCGAAGAUUGGGAGGCAUCUCUAACAUGUUAUCUCAAGGGGGCAAACUCGAACAGGUAAAUUCAGUCUUUUCUUCCUCACCAAUGUUUCAUAUGGCAACCUUAAAGCUUCACAAGGGGGUUAUCACACAAUUAGAUAAAUAUAGGAAACACUAUCUCUGCAGAGGAUCUAAUUUGAAUUCUAGGAAACCCUCCAAGGCAGCUUGGCCUAUGGUGUGCCUACCAAAACAGCAAGGAGGACUUGGGGUUAUUAACCUGAACAGUCAAAAUGAUGCCCUUCUUCUCAAGUUCCUACACAAGUUCUUCACCAGAGCUGAUACUCCCUGGGUUCAUUUAUUCUAGGAUAACUAUUAUUCUAAUGGGAAACUGCCUGGACAGCACAAAAAGGGCUCAUUCUGGUGGAGAGAUGUAGUCAAGCUACUGGACAAAUACAAAGGAAUAGUGUCGGCAUGGGUAUCGGAUGGCUCUACUGUAUUGUUCUGCAUGGACACAUGGAUUGAGCAGGUCCUCUACCUGGAAUUCCCCCAGUUAUUCUCUUAUGCCAAAAACAAACUGGUAUCAUAUAAGGAGGCUACAAGCAGAAUAUCACUGUCUCAAAAUUUUCACCCACCACUCUCAGAAGAAGCUCAUCAGCAGUUGCUGAUUCUGCAGAAUAGAUUGAGGAAUACUGUGAGAGCUCAAGGCAGAGAUAAGUGGACUUACAUUUGGGGAAGGCCCCCGCUUUUCGGUAGCAAAAACUUAUAAAGUCAUAACGGGCACAAGAACCAUACAUCCAAUUCAUAGAUGGAUAUGGAAAUCUAAAUGCCAAAAGAAGCACAAGAUAUUUUUCUAGCUAUUAAUUAAAUUCAGACUGAGCACCAAAGACAUUCUAAGCAGAAAAACAAUGUAUUUGGAUACUUAUACUUGUGUGCUUUGCAUCCUCCAGGAAAAGGAGACAAUGCCGCACUUAUUCCUGAGAUGCAACUUCUCGAAAGCUUGUUGGAGCACUUCCUCCAGGCCACCCUUUCGGAUUUUUAACUCAAUCAAGGAUAAACUGAACGUUCCCUUCUACAUGGAGAUCAUCAUUUUAAUGGCCCGGAGCAUUUGGUCCGUGAGGAAUGACUGGACCUUUCAACAAUGUCCCCCCUCGGUACAGAGCUGCAAAAGGAAAUUCAUGGAAAAAAUGAAUACCGUCUGUCUACAUAGAGCGAAAUCUUCCCUAGCUCCUACCAUGAUGGAAUGGUUGUAAUCUUUUCUUUCUUUUUUCUUCCUUUGUUGUUGCCUUUUCUACCUUCUACUUCUGUUGUUUCUUGGACUCGCCUUUCAUUUAAUAUAUUUCAGUAGGAGCUUGCCCCUCCUGUUCCUUCAAAAAAAAACUUCGAGCACUUCUCCAUGGGCUUCAUCACCAUAGUUUCGAUUUGGGCAAUUUCAUUGCACCGAACCUUCCAGCUUGCAUUUUCUUAACUGAAUCUCGAGCAUGGGGCAAUAUUCUGGCAUCUACAACGGACCUGCCAUCAAGCAUUCCAAUGUAUAGAUCUAUCCUUUUUGUUUGCCUAAUAUUCGGAUGCAAUACUCCGCCGUGUGUAAAAAAAUCCAAGGCCAACGGACCAUACCGUGUUAACAAUUUUAGUGCCUAAUCCAAUACAAAAUUAGUCCCAGUUUGUACGGCUACUCAUUCAUUGCAGUCUUCAGACGAACUCUACGGUGACACAUUUUUGGAAUACUCUGGCAUGUGCAACUGACCUGCCAUCAAGCACUCCGAUGCAUGGUUCUAUCCUCUUUGGUUGCCUUAUAUUCUGUAAAAAAAAAUAUUCAAGGCCAACAGACCAUACCGUGUUAAAAAUUUUAGUGCCCAAUCCAAUACAAAAUCAGUUCCAGCACCUCCACAGUGAUUAUAUUGUAAUUCAAUCACCAAAAUCCGAAACUAUGGUCUAGUGAAGCUAUACUGUGUACGAAAUAUCAAUUCAUGGGAUUUGUCAACGAUUUUAUGAAGCUGUAUAUAUGAUACCUUCCACUACGGGAUUUGUGUACAAAAUAUUAAUUCAUGAGAUUUGUCCAUGAUUUUAGGAAGCUACAAUAUCUUCAACUACCGGAUUGCGUAUAUAAGAUAAUCUUCACCAGUUAUCACAGGUGGAAGCACGCGUUAAAUAAUAAAUGACUAAUGCUGAUUCAACUCUGAGAUGAAAAGGAUUCUGUUCUCAAGAAUCGAAAAAAAGGUAACGUGCUCAUAACAAUGUCGACUCUUCACAUCUGAGAACUACCUACCGUAUGUUAUUAAAACAUUUUUGCUGCCUAUAAAUUGGGCAUCAUUUCAGCAGGCCACCACGGCACCUGAGCUUGCCAUCUUUUCCUGCUCUAUCUCACUCAUUUGUCCCGUAGCUACUAGCUAAGCCACCAUAUCAUCCAUGGCUUCUGGUGCCUCCACCACGCUGAAGAUGGCCUCUAUCGCCGCUUGCAUCCUGCUGGUCCUGCUGUCCAAUGGCCACCCCACCGCGGCGGCCGUUGAUUGUAUUGCGGCUUGCAAAGAACCGUGCCAGGGUUUUUCUAACGGGCUCUGCGCGGGUGGAGCCACCAGCGGUUGUACGACUACGGCAGCAGCUACAGCAUGCCGCAAUUUGGCGUUCUCGCAGUGUGCGAACACCUGCUUCACAGUUUGCACUGCUGUGAGCAUCGCGCCUUGCACUUGAAGAUGCAUUCGUGUUCCUACUUCCACAUUAUUGUUACUGCAGAAUAAUAUGGGUCAGUGCACACAAGCAUACAUGAUGAGCCACUGUCGUUUUUCCAUUUUGUCAUUUACUUAUUGAAGGCAAUGUACGUUUUUCCAUUUGAUCAUUUACUUAUUGAAGGCAAUGUACGUGUCUAUCUCCUGUGUGGUUGAGCAUGUCAUCUUGGAAUUCUAUCCAAAGUUUUACAUACCACCUUGUAUUGUUGUGUGUGGGUAUCAAUAUAAUUUAUGAACUAUCUUCCUUUACCAUAGACAUAUCUAUGUUUAUUUGCAAGCGUUAGCUAAAUUUUUCCUUGAUUGUGUAUUAAUCCCAACUGAACAGAUCAACUUUCCACUGCAAGAAACUAUUUAAUCUGUGACGAAACAAAAUUGUCACAUAUCACUAAAAAAUCGUCAUAAAGCAAUGCCCGUGACGAUUUUAGAUAACGUCAUGUAUUGAGCGUCACAGAUUAAAUCGAUCGACGUUUUCUUCGAAAUCGUCACAGAUCAACACAAUCUAUGAUGUUUUUUACCUGUCACAAA
Molecule: long non-coding RNA, 46021 nt
Filed under: Setaria viridis
Lineage: Eukaryota; Viridiplantae; Streptophyta; Magnoliopsida; Poales; Poaceae
Description: long non-coding RNA (SVIR_LNC008614)
Source: RNAcentral